AAAGACUAGUUUGAAGCUGCCCAUUAGUCUCUUCUCACAAAACUGUUCAUGACAAUUCAAUGUGACAUAUCAACAGAGUCCAGGUCCAAGCAAUCAAUGUGUUUGUUUAGCAACCAAUACAUUGCAUCACCGGCCAAGAUCUUCUAUACACUACAAAAAGGUGCUACUACCAGGAAAAGAACAGUGCACCGAGACAAACCACAUAGUAGAUACUAAUCAUCCACAUACAUAUUAAUCACCAGCCAGGUCCAAUGGAAGUAAUCUGUGUCAGAUUCCAAGUAUUCUCAGCACCCUUCAAAGGAAGUAAGACAGGGAUAACUGUAUCUUUACUUGUGAUCUCAUCAUCCACAUACAUACUAAUCAGUUUGAGUUUCAAAAAAAGUAAAAUUUGUCAAACCUAUCAGAUUCAUAUAUCAAACAAGAAAGAACUGCCAUGGUCGCCAAGAAUUAGAUCUAUAAAACAGAAAGAAAAAAUAACAUAAAGGACACGUUUCCAGGAUAUAAGCUGGCACAAAGAACGCCACCAAUCAGGACAUACCACACGUAAGAGAAUAGCUGUAGCGUCCGAGACUAAUUACUGCGAGGAACACAAGUCAUCCUCAGGAAUUGGUAACGAACGCGCAUCAAACCAAGAAACAAACAGUAAGAAACAUACAGACUACUCCACAGAUAAAUCAUCAAUUUGGGGGAGCUCAGACAGCCAAGGGGUCGUCCGCAGAUGCCACUGAAGAGGAGGCAUCAGAAACUCUAGUCCACAAAUUUGUCAUCACCACUACAACAUCAUGGACCAUCAAAACUAAAAAUAAGAAACAAACCAAAUCGAGAUUCAUCAAGAAUCAAAAGAGCGNNNNNNNNNNNNNNNNNNNNNNNNNNNNNNNNNNNNNNNNNNNNNNNNNNNNNNNNNNNNNNNNNNNNNNNNNNNNNNNNNNNNNNNNNNNNNNNNNNNNNNNNNNNNNNNNNNNNNNNNNNNNNNNNNNNNNNNNNNNNNNNNNNNNNNNNNNNNNNNNNNNNNNNNNNNNNNNNNNNNNNNNNNNNNNNNNNNNNNNNNNNNNNNNNNNNNNNNNNNNNNNNNNNNNNNNNNNNNNNNNNNNNNNNNNNNNNNNNNNNNNNNNNNNNNNNNNNNNNNNNNNNNNNNNNNNNNNNNNNNNNNNNNNNNNNNNNNNNNNNNNNNNNNNNNNNNNNNNNNNNNNNNNNNNNNNNNNNNNNNNNNNNNNNNNNNNNNNNNNNNNNNNNNNNNNNNNNNNNNNNNNNNNNNNNNNNNNNNNNNUUGCUGUUUGGAAAAGAAAAAAAUGACAUCACAUUGCUGUUUGGAAUUUGUAGGCGGCAUUGGUGGGGAUUUAUAUAAAAAAAUUGAAGGUGGGGAUUUUUCUAGGGUUUUCCUCUUCUCUUUGCGGGUGCAGAUGGGGCAGGCCGACGCAUCCACCUGCGUGAGAGGCAGACAAGGCCACAAGUAGACGCACUUUAUUUCCUAUUUGCCACCUUUAGCGGCGCAUCCGUAGGGAGCUAUAUCUCGCUUAUAGUGAGAUUUUUUAGCAAAGGUAGCAGGCCUUAUUGAACAUCAAGAAUGUUACAGGUAUUAUGAGCGUAUCAUGCAGAUUGCCUAACCAAAUAUGCCUUCCCUGAUACCCAAAAAGAUGAGGAGAGUUCUGUUAAAAGCUAUGCAAUGAUUAACAGAGUUUCUGCUGCAACAUCUACGCCAGCGCCAAUGCUCUGAAUCUGAAAGUUCUGUUUAAUGAUCGCUUCAUCCACCAAAUGAAUGUAGGAGUAGGCAACAAAUUCAGAAGCAAAACCAAAACCUCAAGAAAGAAAAACAUAGCCUAGGGGAAGAUAUGCACAUUUCUUACAUUAAUAAAUGUGCCAGAAGACAGGUAACACGACGCAGUUUGGUAAUGCGUCGUGCUGUUUAAUGCUGGCCAGUGUUUCCGAUUAAUCUAUGCUUCCCUCUACAGGAUGACCAAACUGUUAACAGGAACAAACACAUAACAUUUUCCAUUGAAGCAUUGUUUUUGGGCAGGGAUAAGAUAUAACUAAGUAUUUCCUCAGUUCAGGUCUCCAAAUUGCUUCCACACCACGCCAUGAGGUAGCGCAUCAGAAGAACGAAAGUAUUUAGUUUGAUCAUCAUUGGACAGUUUUCAACAUCAGAAAACAUGAGAUAAACAACAAAAACCAUUAUUUGGGGCGGGAAGAAGAUAAAAUGAAGUACUUCCUCAGUUCAGGUCUGAAAAUUGCUUCCGCACUGUACCAUGAGAUAGCACAUCAGAAGAACGAAAGUAAUUGGUUUCAUCAUCAGACAGUUUUCAACAUCAGAAAACACAAGAUAGACAACAAAAAACCAUUGAUUUGGGGCAGGAAGAAUUUAAAUUUAAGUAUUUCCCCAAUUCAGGUCUCCAAAUUGCUUCCGCACCGCGUCAUGAGAUAGCGCAUCAGAAGAGCGAAAGUAUUUAGUUUGAUCAUCAUCAGACAGUUUUCAACAUCAGAAAAAAUCAGAUAAACAACAAAAACCAUUGUUUUGGGCCGGGAAGAAGAUAGAAUUAAGUGUUUCCUCAGUUCAUAUCUCCAAAUUGCUUCCACACUGUGCCAUGACAAUAAUAAGAAGUAACUUUCUGAGGGCACCCUCAGAACAUUUGCAUAAUUGUAUCACAGUAUUUUUCUUAGGAUAUUUGUCCAGCCAUCAGGAGGCAAAAACAGGAACAAAAUGGCAACUAGAAAACAAAUAAAUAACAAUAUGAGGUAUGUCAUUGCUUCUGAUCGCUCUAGGUGAUAAUAUAUAUCUCAUCAACACAUGAAUCAGACAACUAUAUUUUACGAACACAGGUGAGCACCACUCACCAGGAUCCAAGAACAACAAUCUGCGGUCCAGAAACAGACUAGGAAAGAAGAAUCAAACUGCAGUAUCCUCAGUUCAGGUCACCAACUCUUCCAUAUUCAAGAUUUUCGGAACAAGGAACGUACCAUUGUGAUUGAUGGUUGAGCUGUCAGACAAUGCUUUCUAGGCAAACGCACUCAAUCAAGCAGAAGUGAAGAAAGAGGAUAAAGGAAUAAUAGAAGAUCAAAUCAGUAUCCCUCAGGUAAUAUGCUUAUGUUUUUCAUCAACAGAGAAAACUCAGGUCUCAAAGAUGUGCCAUCACUGGACUUACAGAACUGAACCGAAUAGAAAAGGAUAAAUUAAAAUCAGGCAAUUUUGGAGAAUGUUAUUCGCUGGGGAAGCAACUAUCCCCAAAAGUCUAAAACCCAAAAUGGGGCGUGGCCAAGUGGUAAGGCAGCUGGUUUUGGUCCCGUUACUCGGAGGUUGGAAUCCUUCCAUCCCAGAUUGUUUCUGAUGAAACAAACAGUGAAAUCAUACUUGUAGCUAAGAGAACAAUGCUUUCAUCUGUUAAAACCUCAGAAAACUGCAUAAAUUUUCGCCACUUAAAAAUCUGACAGUAAUUCCAACAUGUAGCUAAUCAUCAUGGGCAUAACCCUGUACUUAUCCAGUUGGGCUUCUCUUGGCUGAAGGCUGAAAUCUUCACUUAACUAGGAGUACCGAGGGCAUUGGAGAACUGAAGGCAACUAGACUGAUCCGAAAGACUAGGUCAAAGCUGCUCAUCAGUCUCCUCUCACAAAACUGUUCGUGACAAUUCAAUGUGUUUGUUCAGCAAAAAAUGCAUUGCAUCACCGGCCAAAAUCUUCUACACAGGUACUACUAGAAAAAUAACAGUGCACAGAGAUUCAAAGUAUUCUCAGCAUAUGUACAUACUAGGAGUAAUCUGUGUCAGAUUCAAAGUAUUCUCAGCACCCUUUCGAGGAAGUAAGACAGGGAUAACUGCAUUUUUUACUUGUGAUUGAUGGCAGAUUGUAUGACGAGUCAGAAGUAGCUGGUUGAAGAUCUCAUGUUUAUUACAAAUCAAUGGGAAUCCGAAUGAUUUUCUUCUUCAUACUCGCAAUCCAAGCCAAAUCAUGCUGCACAAGAUGAUGGAAGUAAUCGUGUCAGAUUAAAAGUACCUAAAAUCUUAAAAGUGCACGCGCACUGUUUCGCGACACCGAGCGGCGGCGCUACGCGACAGCGGACAGCGACCUCACACGCUCAGUCCAUCUCUCCACUAAAAGAAAAAAGGAAAAUCUUCUCCACUCCCGAGCAGCACGACCUUCUUCCUCCACUAACCACCGCCGCUGUGCACCCCGCCUCCUCCGGUCCUCCCUCGCGCCGCCUCCUGACAACGCCAACUCGCCGUCGCGAUUGCCCAUCGCCACCCCAGCAGGCCUCGCAUCUUUCCCUCCAGGGCGCCACCAUGAGCCGCCGCAGGAAGCAAUCCCCAACCUCCGGCGCCGCCGCGACUCAUCUUCUGCGAUGGGCACACGCCGCUCCGCGGCUGCGCACAGCUGUGAAUCCUCGCACUUAGCCGUGAGGGCUCCAUCGCCUACUCAAGUGCCCAUCACAUGCAGGUAGUAUUCCCCUUCNNNNNNNNNNNNNNNNNNNNNNNNNNNNNNNNNNNNNNNNNNNNNNNNNNNNNNNNNNNNNNNNNNNNNNNNNNNNNNNNNNNNNNNNNNNNNNNNNNNNNNNNNNNNNNNNNNNNNNNNNNNNNNNNNNNNNNNNNNNNNNNNNNNNNNNNNNNNNNNNNNNNNNNNNNNNNNNNNNNNNNNNNNNNNNNNNNNNNNNNNNNNNNNNNNNNNNNNNNNNNNNNNNNNNNNNNNNNNNNNNNNNNNNNNNNNNNNNNNNNNNNNNNNNNNNNNNNNNNNNNNNNNNNNNNNNNNNNNNNGAGGAUUCAGCCGUGAACUUGUUUGGAUUUAUAGGAAUGAAUAUUGUUGGAUCUAAAUCUGGUUAAUACUCUGUCAUUUUCCUACUUCAUAAAUUUACUUUGGAAAGUUCAUAUAUUUAGUAGUCUGGACACGGGAAAUUUAAUUGCAAUGUUGAUUCAACUUGGGUUUUCUAUGGCAGCUGGAGUAGAAAAUACAAAUUUGUAGUGUAACAACUAUAGUCUAAUCUGCCGGAUAUUGAUGGGAGCAAUCAGAUUUUUGAUGUCUGUGCAGUUCAUCUACAUGUUAUUGACAAUUUUUAUUCAGACAUCUAAUUCACCUCCACAUAUGCUUGUCUAGUCUGCUACCUUACCCAAAUAGUACUAGUACUGAAAUAUUAACAACAUUUUCAUUCUCACAUAUUGUUAACUCAACCUCUUCUAGGUAUUUUUUCAGGAAAUGCAGUCAAAUUCAUGUACAGAUGCAUCACUUUUGUGAUCCUACUAGUCAAUCUCCGGUAUGAUGCUUGGAACGUUGAUGAUUGGAGUGUUGAUCUAUACAGGAGUUUCGGCAUCUUUCUCAAGGAGCUACGUCGACUAGGAUGAGUGGUGGGUUUGUACGGCGGUUAGGAUUAUAGUGGUGGGUUUGAGUUGGAUUUUCACGGUGAGCUGUUCAGAUUUUGUCACUACUGGUAUGGUUCAUGAUCCUUAUUUGAUCCAUCUAUUCUUGCCUAGACUGCAAUUGUCUCGUUAAACAUGAUACUCUCUGUAGAGCUUCAUUACAUUAUUGACCUCUUUUUCUCGUAAAUGCAUCCGUGUGGUUUCUUUGUUUUCUCAUAAGUCGCAUGCAUAUAAGUAACCAGUUGGCUAGUUUGUUGUAAUAGUUGCACAUGAACGCAAAUGUAGUUGGAUGACACAUAUACAUGUCUCAGUUGGCUAGCCAACUUAUGAAGUUGCACAGUGAAGGCUAACCAGUUGCACAGUCGAUGGUAUUCUUCUGCAGCAGCCGCUGAGGUAACAUAAAAUUCCACCAGGGAUAUUUUUUACUCCACAUAUAGGCAACCAAGUGUAUUAAUUUUCAUACAUAGUUGCAGAAGGACUAAUUAAGCAUUGGCAUGCUGAACUUUCUCAGUUGCUCAACGUUGCAUCUUCAAGUUUUUUAGAAUUGUCCCAAGAGUAUGUAAUGACUUGGCAUCCUCAGACUUUCUAGUUGCAGAAUAGUAUCUAAUUAGUUGGCAACCUCAGUAAUUCUAGUUGCACAACAAUAUACAACUAGUUGACAUCCUCAGCUUCUCUAGUUGCACAAGAACUCAGAUUAGUCCCAUCUAAAAAAAUUGAGGAUUGCCCAACAGUAUCUAACGACUUGGCACCCUCAGGUUUUCUAGUUGCAGAAGAGUAUUUAUUUAGUUGGCACCCUCAGCAAUUCUAGUUGGACAACAGUAUCCAAGUAGUUGACAUCCUCAGCCUCUCUAGUUGCACAAGAAUUCAGAUUAAUCCCAUCUUAAAUUUUUUGAGGGAUUGCCCAACAGUAUCUAGUGACUUGGCACCCUCAAGUUUUCUAGUUGCAGAAGAGUAUCUAUUUAGUUGGCACCCUCUACGAUUCUAGUUGGACAACAUUAUCCAAGUAGUUGACAUCUUCAGCCUCUCUAGUUGCACAAGAAUUCAGAUUAAUCCCAUCUUAAUGUUAGGAUUAAUCUUGAUUAUGUAUCUGCGUUGUAUUUUCGUUUAGCAUGUAGUCUAGUGUAGGUUGAUGUUUGUCCCGUGAAGCUUCAGCUCAGCAUGCAGAGGAGGCGAGAUGUUGGGCUGCCGUGCGAUACGGCGAGCACGGCGAGAUGCCGAUGGCAGCGUGAGGCUGCAGUGCUACGCGAGGCAGCAUGGCCGUGUGAUGCGGCAAGUGCGUGAGAGGCUGGAGCGUGACGGGCUGCAUGAAGAGGUUGAACCGGGCGAUCCGGCAAGUCAUUAUCAGUUGUAUACAUGCUAGUUUGGUUCGGUCUAUGGCCGUUCAUGAGGCUGCCCAAGUACUGGCCGUGCAUGUAGUUCUGCAUGUUGAGGGGGUUAGAUGCAUAGUCGUUAGGAUCCUGCAGAGAUGCCUGGAGUAGGAUAAGGCCAGUUAGUGGGUGUGGUAGUGCAUGCAUGGAUUAGUUUGUUAAUGGCCGAGCAUGGCGGCCUGUUAGUUCGUGCGUGACUUAGUGGCCCGGCCAGGUUGUGCGUGAUGGCCAACAGUCUAUGUAUAUAUAUGUCACACUGAGCAAUGAGAAAAUAGAGGCCGUGAGGGCUCAAGAGAAAAGAUGUAGCACUUGUGGUUGCCAAGAAAGAGUACCUCUCGGCAAAGUUAGUUGUUUUUCUUCCUUGUUAUACAUGCGUGUGUGUGCAGUUUCACCAUGUGUGUGUGUGUUCUUGAGAGAAACCAUAGAAGAGAAGAAGAGAGGAACCCAAAUAGAGUUGUGGGAGGCAGCUCGAGGUAGAAGAAAAGCAGCGCUGCCAGAGGCGGCGCCAACACUUGAAAAAUUUGAGGAUUGCCCAAUAGUAUCUAAUGAUUGGCACCCUCAGGCUUUCUAGUUGCAGAAGAGUAUCUAUUUAGUUGGCACCCUCUGCAAUUCUAGUUGGACAACAUUAUCCAAGUAGUUGACAUCCUCAGCCUCUCUAAUUGCACAAAAAUAUCUCAUUAGUUGACAUCAUCAGCAUUUCUAGUCGCACAAGAAUAUCUCAUUAGUUAUCAUCACAAGUAUUUCUAGUUGCAGAACAAACAGGAUAUCAAGUUACCAUCCUCAACUUUUUAAUCUAGUUUUCCAGAGAACAAAUAUUUGUAUGUAAUGAUAACUAAUCACCUCUACCUUUUUUUUGCAAACCCCAAGAUAUUGUUCAAGGAAAUGAGAGUAAUGAAGCAAAUAAUGUUGAACGACGGUCACAAGCUGGCUACCUGAUGGAGACUGCCUGGUACGCCUCUCUCCUCCCUCUUCUUUACCACUUCCGUUCUUGCGUUCAUUGCUUUGCCAUUAUAGCUCUGUUUUGGAUCCAGGCUAGGACCCUUUCUUUCGUUGAAAAGAAGGAGCCCUGUGGAGAAGGAAGUGUGGGCGAGGGGUGCAUGGAGGCUUCGGGAGUUAGUGGGCUAUCAUGUGAUACCGAUUGGCCUUUGUUUUCUGAUUCUUCAUGGAUUUUAGGGGUCGGAACAAAGUUUCCUUUAUGGAAACAGUGGGGACAAAAAGUUACCUUUUCCGGCCGCUCGCGAGCGCUACCAGGCCAACGGCCGCUAGCCAGACGCAUCCUUAAAAGUAUUCUCAGCACCCUUCCGAGGAAGUAAGACAGGAAUAACUGUAUUUUUACUUGUGAUCUCAUCAUCCACAUCCAUAUUUAUCAGUUCGAAAAAACAAUAAAAAUCAAAUGCUCGUACAAUCUAUCACGGCCGGCACAUUUAGAUCCAGAAAGACAAAGAAAAAAAAAUAGAGGACGGCAUGUGAAUGUAUGUGGCGUUUCCAGGAUAAGCUGGCACAGAGGACGCCACCAAUCAGGAUAUACCACACAUUAGAGAAUCGCAUGUAGCGUCCGAGACUAAUUACCACGAGGAACAAAAAUCAUCCUCAGGAAUUGGUAAUGAAUGCGCACCAAAAAAUGUUGUUUUGGGAGGGAAGAUAUAAUGAAGCAUUUCCUCAGUUCAGGUCUCCAAAUUGAUUCCGCACCACACCACAAAAUAGCACAUCAGAAGAACGGAAGUAUUUAAAUUGAUCAUCAUCGGACAGUUUUCAACGUCAGAAAACAUGAGAUAAACAACAAAAUCAAUUGUUUCAGGGCGGGAACAAGAACAAAAAUAUUUAGUUCGAUCAUCUUCAGACGGUUUUCAACAUCAUAUACAGUCAUCAGGAGCCCAAAACAAGGACAAAAUAACAAAAAAUAAACACAAACGAACAAUAUCAGGUAUAUCGUUGCUUCCCUCUAGGUGAUAAUAUCUCAUCAACACAUGAAUCAGAUCACUUUAUUUUACCAGCACAGGUGAUCACAAGGAUGCAUGAACAACAAUCUGCAAUCCACAAACAGACUAGGAAAGAAAAAUUGAACUGCGGUAUCCUCAGCUCUUCCAUACUCAAGAUUUCCAGUAGUUAAGUAGAAUGGAGAUUGAUUGUUGAACGGUAAGAAGCAAAUGCACCUCCAUCAAGCAAAAGAAUAGUCAAUCAAGAGUGAAGAAAGAGGAUCAAGGAAUAACAGAAGGUCGAAUCAGUAGACCUCAGGGAUUAUGCUUAUGAUUUUCAUCAAGGAAGAAAAGUCAGGUCUCAAAGAUGUGGCAUCACUGGACUCGGGAACUUAACUGAAUAAAAAAGGGCCAACUAAAAGUCAUAAACAUAUAAUGAUAAGCAGGAGCAAUUUUGGAGAAUGUUAUUCGCUGCCCCUCACAAUUAAAAGUAGGGGAAGCGACUCAUCCCCAUAAAGUCUGCCCCUGGAAAAAAUCAAGCCCCACAGAUACAUAAAACAAAAGGAUCAACUAAUAAAGGGGGUCUUCAACAUAAUUUGUCCUCAGAAUUGCAGAAUGACAGCAUGGACGCAUAGCAACCAAUCAGUCCCGAAAGAUGGUAUGAUUUAACAGGUUUUUCAUCACCGGAACCAUAAACAAGGUCUAUAUAAGUCAAACCUAAAUUAUUUUAGGGUUGGAAGUCAGAAUUGCAUAUUUGACAACAUGGCAAACAAGAGCGCACCAAUCAGACUCAACAUCGUGACAAUAAUAAUAAUGACGGAAAUGUUGUAUUCAUAAACAAAAAUGCAAAAAUCUAAGCCUUUCAUUAGUUAAGCAGAUAAGCAACGACACCUAAUUAGGCCAACCUAUGUUAACAGUUCAGUGAACGAAUUACACCAACAAACCUGGCAAUAGACCGGGCACACCCAAAAAAAAAACAGGAUUCAAUUAGCCAACAAACCUGUAAUGCACAUAAAUGCAUAAGAAUAGACGAGCUCUUGCCAACCAUUGAAAUGACUAAAGCCCAUGGCAAAACAAACUCUCAAAGAGUUCAAGAAGGAAUUCAAGAUACAAUAUAUUAAAGGUUCCAGAACAAAGACAUUAUCUAGGGCAAAACAUCAUCCAAGGUAAUCGUCUAAACAAGAACACUCCUUAAGAUUCUGGAAAUGGACCAACACAGUAGUAGAAAAGCUAUGGGGGAUCGUUGUGAAGCAGCUUAUCGCUUCUUGGAGACACCAACAGUCUUUCCUCUCCUGCCGGUAGUCUUGGUGUGCUGACCACGGACACGCACGCCCCAGUAGUGACGCAGACCACGAUGGUUCCUGGAAAAGAGGAGGGUUUCAAGCAUAAGUGAUUACUCACGCAUCUAUGCACUAGGACAAGGCUACUGCAACAGUUUAGUCUAAAGGAAUCAGGCAUCACCAUACAUCUCUUGGAAACAAAGCAUUGCUAUACAGAACUACUGGGUCACAUACAAGGUACACCAGAAGGAUACAGAUGAAUAUGUACAAGUAAUAGACAGGCUAGUCCUAACAGAUUGACCAAACUGAACUUUUGUAACCAAAACUGCUACUUGCCUUUAUAACUUGAGAGCAGGGCUUCUCGUUAAUAAGAGUAAAUACAGACAUAUGACAUUGUAUUUUUGCAGAAAAGAAACAUUAAUUCCGAUCUACACAAGCUAACGCUGGACUAGGUUAGGCCUAUUUCACAGGAUAAACCACUACAGAAUGAAGCAGAUGAAGUCAGCACAUGCUACCAGAAAAACACUAUGCACAUCAAGAACAACAGAAUAAACGCGUUUCAGGCAUUCUAAUGUCCGAAGAUCUGCUUAGAGAAACCCACUAUGCCAAUCCCAAGACUAGACUGUAAAGUACUGGAUGAGAUAUCAACUACUGCAGCUACUAAAGCAUGUGCAAGAUGUUAGUUAACAGCAUCAUAACCAGUUGAACCUAGCGCAUAAUCAUCGAUCAACCAGUAAACAGUAUGAAGCCAAAACAAACAAGAGGGGGAGGAGUUUAUACCUGAUCUUCUUGAGCCUCUCAAGGUCAUCCCUGAGCUUCAUGUCCACGGCGUUGGACACGACCUGGGAGAACCUGCCGUCCUUGUAGUCCUUCUUCCUGUUGAGGAACCAGUCCGGCACCUUGAACUGGCGCGGGUUGUGCACCACCGCCAUCAGGCGGUCCAUCUCCUCCGAGGAAAGCUCUCCGGCCCUGCACGCCCACCACAGAGCACAGCGCACGGCUCAGCACCACACCGACCGCGACGAGAUCUGGCGAGAAAGGGGGACGGACGGUGUUCCUCACCUCUUGUUCAUGUCGAUGUCGGCCUUCUUGCAGACGAUGUUGGAGAAGCGGCGGCCCACACCCUUGAUGGAGGUCAGCGCGAACAUGAUCUUCUGCUUACCGUCGACGUUGGUGUUGAGCACACGCAGGAUGUGCUGGAACUCCUCACCCGCGAUCAGCGACUGCGGCCAGAGAAGGAUCACGAACGUCAGCAUACGAGGCGGGAUCCGCGAGAGGAGAAGGAGGAGGGCGGAGAUGGGAGGGGGGAGACGCUUACCAUGGCUGCAGUCGGCGGCGGCGGCGGCGGCGGCGCUCGGGGGCAGGAGGGGAGGAGGAGGGCGUUCGCGUCUAAGGUUUUGGAGGAGGGGUCGUGGGGAUGAAUUAUAUACCCGGGGUGAAACCCUAGUGCUUCAUCGGACGGCUGUGAUCUGCGCGGGCUCUGUAAGUGGGCGGCUUUGUUGGGCUCUUUUCUCAACGGGCCUUUAUCUGGAGUUCCUUGGGCUUUGGUGGCCUCUUGCACCCGCCGCUGUAAUCCUGGAGGUCCCAGUCACUCUGAACCUUCUGGGGAGAGCAACUAGUUAACGAGCGUUUCUUCGGGAGUCUCGCAACGAUCAGUGCCACUUGGCGCGCUCUCAGCCAUUCGUCACGUGUCGUGUUCUGGACGCUCCCUCCGGAUUUAUUUUUUUAUUUUUUGCACGCGUUUUCGGCUUUUUAAACGGUUUUUUCUUCUUUUUUUUCGAGGUUUUGGUUUUCCGCCGGUCUUCCUUAGCUUUUUGACAAAAAAAAAAUUGUGCGAAAAAACGCGUUUUUUUUCUUUCGCGAAAAGUCACGGUUUUUCUCCCGCGAGAGGCACGGUUGUGCUUUAGCGAGAGUCAUGGCCGUGCCUUUUUUUUCGCGAGAGUCACGGUUUUACUUUCGCAAGAGGCACGGUUGUGCUUUCGCGAGAGUCACGGCCGUGCCUCUCGAAAAGGGAAAAACAAAACGCGUUUUCUGUUUUUUUUCUUUCGCGAGAGUCACGGUUUUGCUUCCGCGAGAGGCACGGUUGUGCUUUCACGAGAGUCACGGAAAAAAAUACGCGUUUUCUGUUUUCUUUCUUUCGCAAGAGUCGUGGUUUUGCUUUCGCCAGAGGCACGGUUGUGCUUUCGCGAGAGUCACAGGCGUGCCUCUUUCGGAAAGGAAAAAAAAAACGCGUUUUCUGUUUUUUUUCCUUCCACGAGAGUCACGGUUUUGCUUCCACGAGAGGUACGGUUGUAAUUUCGCGAGAGGCACGGGCGUGCCUCUUUCGGAAAGGGAAAAAACCGUGCUCCCGGUUUGGUUUUUUCGUCCGGGUUUUUCGUGAAAAAAAAGUUCGUCAAAAUCUAUCAACAUGGGAUCUAGUUUUGAAGAUCUCGACGCGAGGAAUUCAAUGGUGAAAACGGUUUGAGAUUUGGACGCACGGUUUAAGAGAUAAAACGUGUUGAAUAAACGGAUCUACGAAAAAGGGAAAACUCCCAGGUUGCGACAAGUGGCGCGCUGCAUGUGCGCCCACUUGUCGUGACCUGGGAAGGUGGAGUGUUCUUUGCAACGAGUACUUCUUAGUUAGUGAUUUCGACCUUCUGACUGAACCCCUUGACACAGCUGCAGUGCGUCAGAUUCUCAAAAAAAAGCUGCAGUGCGUCAGGGCAUUGAGGUUGCAGCUGUCGUAUGCCCCACAAAGCGCAUAAAACCUCGCACUGGAUCGGUGGCUGGGCCCAGACUAACAUCCACUGCUGCGAGGAAUCCAUCCAUGACAGAUGCUUGAUCUGGAGUAAAUAGCAUAAAACUACUAGUUUACAGGCUAUGGUUCCAAAAAACUACCACUUUUUAAUUUUUCUCAGAAAGCUACCGAACGCGCGGUCCGCUGUUUCAAAAAACCCAAACCUGCGGUGACUAGCGUUUUAACCGUUUUCCUGACGGACUGGGCCCAUCUGUCAGCCCACGUGGCCACGGGCGCUCACGGCGCGGCCGUUAACGGCCGUUAGCCGACCCGGGUCCGGUCGGAACCAAAGUGGGCGGUCGGCCACACACUCUCUCACUCCCCCUCCUCUCCCCCGCGGUGACCUAGGUGGGCGAUGGCGGCGGCGCAGCCAAAUGUCGUCGGCGGCGAGCUAUUGAGGCAAGGCGGCACCGGCCAGGAGGGCGGUGGACACUCAGAGGUGGACAAAUGGCUAGGCAGCUCGAGCUUCCCGGCGCAGCGGUCGCAGCAGCCAUCACCGCCCGCAGCUCAUGUGGAUCCGGCGAGCUCAGAUCCGAAAGUCCGCGCGGCUAGGGCAGUGGCGAAGCGCAUCCACACUGAUCCAGCAGGCGGCCACCAUUGGGCGUCGUCCUUUGGUGGAGUGAGGUAAGCACUGGUCCUUUAGUUAAAUUUCCGUGUGCUUUAGUUCAAAUUAGAACUAGGGUUAGUAUUUGUUUGUUCUUGGCAUGCUACUGUAUUUUAUUGGUUAAGUCAGUGUAGAAGAAAGUGCAUUUGGUUAGUUCAUUUGGUCAGUGCAUAGAUGUUCUUGAUAUCUGAAGAAAGUUCAGUAAUGUUCGGUGACUUAAAAAAUAAUUGUUUGUCAAUUUAAUCCUACAGCUUAGAUGAUGAGAUUUGGGACUUGAGGCUACAUUUUCAAGGAAUAGAUAAUAUGGAGAAAAAGUAUUCAGUUUCCUCAGAUAUCAGUUAUCUGACCAUAUUAGCAUUGGUUGAGUUGGAGGGCUAUGGCAUGGAUGCAUUUAUGACUUAUGUAAAGGAAGAGGGAAAGGGGCUGGAGGGUGUGGAGGCCCUGGAUACUGAGGAGGCAUUAGAGGAAAUGCUUGACUUAUUUGUUGAUAAGAAGGUACUGAACAUCAGUGUCAGAAAAGCUACUGAUCCAAGCCCAGCUGAUGAGGAACAAAUCCCCAUUGAUCAUGUUGGUGAACCUGUUGUUUACAGAGUUUCACAAGAAGGUGUUCUGUACCCUGCCUCUAAUGCUAUCUUGCCAUCUUUAACCCCUGAUGAGCCCUACAUGAACACACAGCAAAGCAGCAAUUUGAACAAGGGGAAAACAGUUGUGGAAGAAGAAGAUGUAGAAGAAGAAGCAGAUGAAGAAGAAGAAGAUGUACCAGAGGAAGAAGAUGAAGUUGAAGAUGACAAAUCAUCUUCAGAUUUUGAGUUCUUUAGGGGUGAUUACAGAGGGGAGAAAAUUUCUUACAAAGCUUGGUGUAGGGGUGAAGAUGAGGCUGGCACUGAUACUGCAGAGCACUAUUGUGCAGCUAACUCAGAACCUUCUGAGUUUUGGGAGGAAGAACCAAUAGUUUCUGAAGAUGAAGAAGUAGUGGAUCCUGCUGCUGUAACUACAAAAGCAUCCAAAAAGCUUAAGCCAGUUAGAAAACCUGGCCCAACUAGCAAGUCUCACAGUGAGCCUGAGCACAACAAGUUUGAAGAUUAUGUCCCUGAAGCUGAUGAGUACUGUUUUCCAGGUGAUUUUGGCAUAAGUGAUGAAGAGGAUGCACCAAGGCUGCCAUCUGGAAGAAAGAGUAGGAAGAAGCAGAAGAAGGAGAGGAGAUGGUAUGAUCCAAAAAGGCCUGAUGCACAUGAGCAGUUUUCAAUGCAUUUGUGCUUUGAAAAUGUAGUUGAGUUCAGAGAAGCACUUAGAAAUUUUCAUGUGAGGACUCUUAGGAAUUUUGAGUAUCACAGAAAUGAACCAACUAGGGUUAUUGCUUGGUGCUCUGAGAGAAAACAUGGUUGUGAGUUUUACAUAGUUGCCUCCAAGAUAGCUCAUGAGGCAACUUUCAGUAUCAAGAAGAUGAACCUGGAUCACACUUGUGGAGCAAGUGGAGAGAACACAAAGGUGACAGUCAGUUGGGUUGCUAAGGUUUGUGAGGAUACAGUCAGAUCCAACCCUGGAGCUGGUGUUGACACAAUUAUGUCAUACACAAAGAAGAAGUUUGGUGUGCAUGUGCCUAAAAGCUUGGCAUAUAGGGCAAGGAAGCAAGCAGUUGAGGUUGUGCAAGGAGAUCACAAACUCCAGUAUCACAGAAUAAGGGACAACCUGCAGUGUGUGCUAGAUACUAACCCUGGCAGUAGGUGCAUAGUAACAACACAUGAGGACCCACUUAACCCAGCUCCUACCCCAAGGUUUCACUAUAUGUUUUACUGCUUGUUUGCAUGCAAGGAGGGUUUUCUGAAUGGAUGCAGGCCAUUUAUAGGUAAGUAUUCAGAAAUUUAUAUGAUUUUUAAACAUUGAUGUACUUAGGCACUCAUGUUAUCAUGUUAGCAGGUCUGGAUGGUUGCUUCAUCAAGCUAAGCACUGGUCAGCAGAUAUUGGCAGCUACAGGGAGGGAUGGCAACAAUAACAUCUUCCCAAUAGCUUUUGGUGUUGUUGAUAAGGAAGAGACAGACAGUUGGACAUGGUUUCUCACACAGUUGAGAACAGUCAUUGGAACUGGCAAUAAGUUUGGCAAAUACACAAUUAUGUCUGACAGGCAGAAGGUAUUUUUCUGAACCUAGUCUUUACAUUUGCCUUUACAUUUGCCAUGAGUAAAAUGUUAUUCAGUAGUAACACUUAAGAUUACACUACAUUGAACAGGGAUUGUUGAAUGCAAUAGAUGAUGUAUUCCCUGACUCUCCACAAAGGUUUUGUCUUAGACAUAUUUAUGCCAAUUUUCAAUCUGCUGGUUUCAGAGGAGAGGAACUUAAGAAACAUUUAGAUCAGGCUGCCUAUUCCUUUACCAAACAUGGACAUGAUUUAGGCAUGGAGAAUUUGAAAAAAGAAAGUUUAGAAGCUUGGCAGUGGUUGUCACAGAUACCAGAGCAUACAUGGGCUAGGUAUAAAAUGGACACUGUGUGCAAAACAGACCUGUUAGUAAACAACCUUAGUGAGGUUUUCAAUAGAAUGAUAUUGGAUGUUAGGAAGAAACCAAUCAGGACUAUGUUAGAGGGCAUAAGAACAAAGCUGAUGAUUAAGUUUCAGAAGAUCAGAGAGAAGACAGAGACAUGCAGAUGGGAAAUCACACCUACUCAUUCAGAGAUUUUAGAAGAGGGGAAGAAAUGGGCUAAAUAUUGUGAAGCAUACAUGGCAGGGCCAGGCAUAUGGCAGGUCACUAGUAGCUCUGAAAACACAUAUUGUGUUAAUUUGAACAAUGAGACCUGUGACUGUAGGAGGUGGGACAUGACAGCUGUCCCCUGUAGUCAUGCCAUUGCUGCAAUGCAGAAAGUGAAGAUACACCCUGAAGACUAUGUUUCUGCUUUCUUCAAGAAACCCAUGUAUUGUGAAACAUAUAAGCACAUAAUAUUCCCUGUGCCAGGUCCUGACCAUUGGCCUCAUACACCUGGUGAUGAUAUUUCUCCCCCUGUUUUUUAGAGAAAAGAAAGGUAAAAAACAAACUGCCAGGAGGAAAGGCCUGUUUGAGGUGCCAGCUAAAAAGGAUACUUCUAGGAUUGGUACAGUGACAUGCAGCAACUGCAAGAAGCAAGGGCACAGGAUCAACAAUUGUGGUGUCCCUUUGAAACCUAAGUUCCAGAUGAGGCUGAACAAGCACCAGGUAUGUCCAUUCAUUCCAUUGUUACAUUCAUUGCAUUGUUACAUUCAUUUCAUUUGUAGGAAAAUAGUUCUAACUAAUAUUGUUGUGUAGGAAAAUAGAGCAAACUACUCUGAGGCUGGUUCUUCAAUGGCUGCAACUGCACAAAGGCCACCAAGGGUACCUGCUGCCUCUGCACCUGCACCAACUCCUCCUCCAAUAACAAGUGUGUCAACACAGACAACUUCUAGGUCAAGGAAAAGGGCAGCUCCAGCUACAACAGCAGUACCACCACCUCUCAAGAAGAGCAGGCCUAACACCUCUUCUUCAACACUAGUACCACCUAACACAACUAUUUCUGCCAAUGGAUCAAGGUCUUCUCCAGCAAAGAACGCAUGGUCAUCAAGGUCUUCUCCAGCAAAGAACACCAAGUCAGCUGCUGCCAAUAGAGCUGGCAAUGGAUCUUUCAUUGCUCCUAGACAAUCUGCUACAAGUGUUGUGCAGGAUGGGUCAAAGAGGGUCAGGAAGCCAUCUGGGAGGCUGAAAGAUUACUUUUAUGCAAGUGGUAACUAGCUGAAGUGGUUGAACUCCUCUGUUAUCCUAGGUUAUGUAUGCAAGUGCACUGUUUGAUUUGGUUUGUCAUAACACUGCCUCACUAAGUACUUGAUACUGCACUGUUUGAUUUGGUUUGUAAUAUGGUACUUUAUGUGGAUUCUGCACUUGUCUGCAACUUCAAUUCAUCUGCAACUGUUAUCUACAUGUGGAUUCAACACUUGAUAAAUUGAUGGUGCUGCUGACCAAGUGCAUUAUAAGAUACUGAGAUAUACAUAACUGACCAAAUGCAUACAUUUAUUCAGAAACAUCCAAAUGUUACAUAGAUAGAAAGAUAGUCUCAUAGAUUACAUCCAAAUCUCACAAAUACUACCAAAACUCUCUCUCAAAUUGACUUACAGAUAGCUAGAAAGAUAGAUAGCAAGAUAGAUAGAUAGGUAUAUAGAUGGAUGAGAUGAGAUUGAACAUAUCAGUCAUAGCGCUCAAAGAAACGGACCCACUUGGCCCUAGUUGCUGGAUGAGGAGCCAUGACUGCCCUCAUCCUUGCCCACCUAAUGAUCUCCAUGAAUGACCUUCCCCUGCCGCCAGUGAAAACCAGCUCUAGUUCUCAUCAUUGCACUUCUCCAGUUCGGAGAGUCGGCGGUUGAACUCCUCUUGCUGCUCAUCCUGGGCCGCCUCUAGUGCCCUCUGCCUGCGCCUCCUCCUCCUCCUCCUCUGUGCUGCUGCUGCUGUCCUAACCUCCACAGCCUCCCCCUCUUCCUCUAUGACAUCUCCCAUGUCAGGAUCCAUCCGUGGUUUUCUUUUGGGUGGCGGCUGGUGGAGUAACUGGGAAAGGGUGGGGGUGGGGAGGGGUUUAUAUUGACAGAUGGAUGGGGUUGGGUUUAGUAGGCCUAGGGUUGCAUUUGGUCAAAGACUAGUGGGCCACUAAGCCCAAUUACACACAGAAAUAAUAUUAGUAGGCUAACAAAUAACAUAUAAAAGAUAUAAGAUCAAGUUGAACACUUAGUAGCAUACAUUCUACAUUUCCACAACUUAGUAGCAUAAGAGAUCCAUUUCCACUACUUAAUAGCAUAGGAGAUCCAUUACAACACUUAAUACCAUAGGUGAUCCAUUACAACUUAACAACAUAGGAAAUAAGGUUCUUGCACUAGGUUAAACUUCACAUUUCCCCAAAAUGUACACCCAUAAUCACUUGCAGUCAUGCCAGGCCACAUCCUUAUAUAAAGGCCUUUUGAUGUACUUACUUCACCAAGAUCAAGCUUCAAGAUUCAAGGAUGGCCUUGAUUUGCUCUAACUUCUCCUUGCUGCCAUACCCUUCUUUCAGCAGCUCAGCAACAACAAGCUCAAGCUUUGCCUUCUCCUUCUUAAGAACAUCUCUGUCAACUUCAACAGCCUUCAUAGCCUUCCUCGUGUUCUUGAUGAUAUCAGCUUGGCUCUGCAAAAUGCACCUCUGCUCUUUUGCAAGUUUGAGCUUUUCCAUCUUCACCUCCAACAUAGCUUUCUCCUCUAGCUCCUUCUUCUUCUUCUCAAGUUCUUCCUCCUCCACUUGUUUCUGGUACACCUUCUUGUCCACCCUACCAUCCUGCCAAUCAAACAUCUUGGAUACAUCAUCAACAAGCUUGGUGUACUCAAUGCAAAGCUUGUCAUUUUCAGUCCUAAGCUUGGCCAACUCCCUUUCAUGUUCACUCUUAAGCCUGGCCAACUCCUUCUCAAACUUUUGCUUGUCCUGUACCCUUCCAAAGUUCUGCUCAUGGAACAUCUCCCAUAGCUUGCACAGACAUCUCUGGAGAACAGUUGGCCAAGGCCCAUCAACCCACUCUACAACACCACAAUUCACACCAUUUUCCUGCAUUUAUAAAUGUGAUAAGUUAUUACAAAUGGACUAGGAGCUUAUUUCAGUUCCAUGAUUAACUUGUAUAGACUUCAUAAUUUCUAACAAUGAAUAACAUAAAUGAGAUAUGAUAAGUUAUUACAUAUGUGACUGUCAUAUCAAACAAAGUGCUGCAUCAUAUCAAACAUUAGUGAACAUACAUAGCAGAAAUGUUUAUUGGCAUCUAACCUGGACUGGGCAGCCAUAGAAACGCCUUCCUGUUAUAGGCCCUUCAAAAGCAACACGCUUAAUAGGCCUCAGUUGGUGCAGAAUGCACUUGGGAUGAGCAAGCUCAAGUUGGCCACAGAAAAGGGACUCCACAGUGGUGUCUGGUUCCUCCUGCAACCAUAAUAACCAACAAACACUGGUUUCAAUCUCCACUCAAUACCAGAAUCAACAAGCACUGUUCUUUAAACCUGAUCACUAAAAAAUCUCCAAAUCAGCAUGAACCCUAACACUGUACACAGAUGAACCCUAGGUUACCUCAAUCCUACAAUCAAACCCCACCCUCACUAAUCAAGAACAGUAUCACACACACAACAACAACACUACACUCAGCAACAUCCAUGGCUGUAGCCUAGGGCUACUAGCACCUAACCCUAACCCUAGGUGGCAAAGAACUUACCAUAAGUCCCAUGUCCAUGUUGACAACCUCGCACUCCUCCUCCGAGCUGGUUUCCUCGUCGUUCCAGGAAGGCAUUGCGGCAAGGAGGUCGACGGCCACUGGCCUCGAAGACGGCGAGCGGCGGCGAGCUCGUACUGGAGCAGGGGAGUGAGAGCAGGGGAGUGAGCGAGCGAGCACGAGAGAGUGUGCGAGCGGGUGUGCCCGACCGACCGAGCGGGUAUAUUUACCCCAGUUCCGACCGGGCCGGUCGGCUAACGGCCGUUAACGGCCGCGCCGUGAGCGCGCGUGGCCACGUGGGCUGACAGAUGGGCCUGGUCCGUCAGGAAACGGGUUAAAUCGCUAGUCACCGCGGGUUUGGGUUUUUUGAAACAGCGGACCGCGCGUUCGGUAGCUUUCUGAGAAAAAUUAAAAAGUGGUAGUUUUUUGGAACCAUAGCCUGUAAACUAGUAGUUUUAUGCUAUUUACUCCUUGAUCUGCCCGCCCACGUCGCUCAGCGAGUAGAAGAGGUAGCCUUCAAUGUCAUUGUUGAUGAAUGGGAUGUCGAAUGUGAGACCGAUUGUCAUCUCCGGUGCAAGGGUAAAGUUAUGGCCGUUCCAAGGGCCACUGGACCAAUAGGUUAUGGACAGAUUCCACCGGAUGAAAAACUGUAGCGUGCCGUUUGGGUCCAGCUCCAGCGUGAACAGCCCUGGAGACGGAUCUGCCAUGUUCUUCCAAGGAACAAGCCUCUGGAUCACACCGGUGAUCUUGUUCAUCCCGAGCUUUCCCCCUGGAAGCCAGGUGUUUGUUGGAUGGUCUAUGCUCCGCCAAUAAAUUAUCGAUGAAUUCGACGCGUCGGUGACGUCGAGGCUACCGGUGUCCCUGAUGACGGCCAUGGUGGAGUUGGAGGUUACACUCACGUUGGUCGACCAUAGCUCCAUGUUCCUGGAGUGGUCAAAGAGGACAAGGUUGCCAUCGCUGCCCAUGGCCAAGGCAACUCUGGCCGGGUCGGAAACCGGCAAGUCGGAGGUCGCCGUCGUCACCGACAGUAUGUCGCUGUACCAUAUGGCUAAUUAGUAGCUGUUGGAGCUGGAAGAGGAGGUGGUGUUACCUUGUGUCGGGGAGUAGAAUCCCAAGGUGAAUUCCUUGCCCUGGGAUACAAUCCUCUAUGUCGUCCCAGACAACAGCGAGGUGGAGUUGAUGAUAUCAACGGCUAUGCAGAUAAGGAUUUGGCUGAGUAGGAGGAGGAAGAUGAGAGGAGCCAUGGAUGGGAGCUUGGAAGAAUGCCCAACUACCCAAAGCUGGCAGGAGCAUGGGAGUUUGAACUUUUUGCCUAACUCGUGGUGGUGCUUGGAUGUAGAGGUUUUUAGGUUGGUGAGUAUUCAGUGUCAUUGUUGAAGAAUGUGAGGUCAAAAGUUUGUCAUCUAGUAUAUCAUGGACUAAUUCAAUAGGAAGAUUCCAUUGACCUGGUACAGCAGGCUCUGGUUUUCCCUUCCCUGAUUAAGUUUUCUCAUCCUGCGAUUACUAUAUACUUUGUGCAUGCUUCAUAAUUGUAUUUUUUCCCAAGAAAACGUAAAUGUUUUGCAUCCCAGUGCAUUAAAUUGAAAGAAGUUUAUGGAUUUGGCUGAGUAGAAGGAGGGGGAGGCCAGAGGAGCCAUGGAUGGGAUAUUCCAUGAAUACUGAAUAUCCAGGCACUCCUAGUGAAUGGUGAUGGCUCAGUACAGAGGUUUUUUAGGUUGGUGAAUGACUUCACCUCAAAAUACUAGCAAGGACCCUUCUUUGAUCUAGUACACUAGCUAAGGCUGAUUGAAAGGUAGACACACCCAACAACAUUAUGGUGCCGAAUCAUGGAUCAGUUAACAGAAUGCAAUCUAGUCACUACUGUGCUGAAAAUUAGAAGGGGGUUAACUAUGGGGGCUGUCCUUUCCUUGAUAAUAUUAUUCUGCCUAUUCAAUUCAUUCUAGGUCAACUUCAGCCACUUCUUGGACUGUGAAACUUGACCUAGAGUGUCGUUCUCGGUUGGCAGCCGCACUAGAUUAGCUUACCACCAGCCGCCCAACUUAUUCUGAAGACCCACGAUUAUUUCUGUAUGAAUUUUUCUGAAGGCCCCCGAUUAUUUAUGUAAAAAGCUAUGUGGCCUCUUGUAUGUGUUUCUCCCGAAAAGCAUUUUAGCAAAAUAAUAUAAGCACAUGUGCCACUCACAGAAGAUCCCACUAACAAGUGAGAAGCCUUUGACCUGCUCUCCUUCAGCUAUGGAGGGAGCCAUUCCUGGCCCCCCUUUGCUUCUUUCUCAUUCUUGGAGCUUCUCUUCUAAAUAUUCUGUUCUUACAAGACCAUGAUCUAGAACGACUGUACGAGGCACAUCAAGAACUUUAAUUUUCUCUUCUUCGGUUUGGAGCAUAUCAGGAAGCCAACACAUACAGUCACACAUGUUCAAGAUGAAAGAUCGUUCACUCUGAUCCCCUAAUUUGCAGUAUUCAUUUGUGGGUCUUGUCGGGGAUAUACCCCGCGGUAUGACCCGGCCGGAAUUGGCGACUCACUGGUGACCCGCCCGGAGCUUGGCGAUUCACAGAUAACCUGCCCGAUCUUGGCGACUCAUUAGUAACCCGGCGGGCGGGUCAGAUGGACAACAAGGCCCAAGGCCCAGAAGGCCGGCUCACAUUUAUGAUGGGCCGGCUUAAGAAGGAAGGGGUGACGAAUAUUUCCUUUACGGGGAAGCAAGACCCGGACUUGUAAUUAACUUGUAAGAGAAGAUAGACUAGUCCUAGUCCUACUAGGACUCCACAUGUAACCCGCCCCUCUAACUUAUAUAAGGAGGGGCAGGGCUCCCCGAAGAAGGACAGGCAACAAGAAAUAAUCUCUAGGGCUAAACACCGAGAGCCGGUUCCCGGCGACUCUCCCGUGAUCAUAAUGAGACCUAGCCUCAAACAGCAUGUAGGGUUGUUACCGGAUGAUGUUUCCCGGGGCCCGAAGCUGUCUAAACCUUUGUCUUGUGCGUUGAUCCGCCCUGCGUCUCUCAUCCCAAUCAACCCCUCUCAAGCUACUACAUAGAUGCGCUGGCCUCACGACUAAGUCCUUACACCUAGGACAUCUGACGUGUUAAUUCCACGACAGUUGGCGCCCACCGUGGGGCUAGGCGCACGGUGGUGUUGAGUUCUUGGAGGGAUCUCUUCAGGGAUCGAAGAGCUCGCGAGUAGACAGAUGAAGGUUUACGUUCCAUAAGAUUAAGAGUGCGUCGGAUGUACUAUCGCCGCCGCAAGUUAGAGAUGUGUUCGAGAUCAAGCAAUGCAAGGAUCACGUCACAGGGGCCAGCAGGAGUGCAAGAGAAAUUUUUUGCAGUAUGAUUGGGGAGCAGUUGAAUCGCAAGUCGCCAGGCCGUGUUUUCCUGUUACAACACGUUUUUUCUGACGCACCCAGACCCGAGGUGUUUUGUCGCUAUAGGCGACUUCCAAGUCAUAGAACGUCCAUCAAUCGUGCCAACUACUGCUGCAUGUUAUCGUACAAAGGACAAAACAGGAUCUAUGCUGCUCACGUGGGUUGAGUGCUAGUUUAAUUCUCAGAAUUGCUAUCUCGGAUAGCUAUACAUACAUGGAGGCAGGCUGCACAAGGAAAUAUGAACAGAGCCGUCCAAUCAACAGCGAUGCACUCGAGAAAGAAAGAAAAGGGCGUGGGGUUGCCGAGUCAAAGUACGACCCGGAGAAAGACAGGGACGUGGCCGCAGAUUCGGCCCUGUCCUACGAUGCUCAAGCUUCUGCCUGUGAGCCGGCCGAGCGGACAUCUGACUCGCCCUCGCCAAAUCACCGCCUUCACCAUUAGCCGGGGCUGCCUCCGAUGUGCCUCCUCUGCCUCGGCCCACACCUCGACGCUGCUCCAUGGCUGUGCUGCUGCCUCGAGACGGCCAAGCUGCUGUUAGCCUGCACGCCUCGCCGUUGCUGCUCCUUCUAUGAGCGCUACAGCUGCACCUCCACUACGAUCUGCCGCUGCUGCUUUGUGCAUAAAGACCAAAAUCUAGUCAUCAACUACUACUCCAUCAUCCACUAUGACGUAUGAAGGCACUAGUCAAACUGAUGGGUCAAACCAAGCAUGACCCGGAGGAGAUCUCGGUCACACGGAGUCGGCCUCGCCUCCACGCGCCGCAUUAAGAUAUUGUCGCGCCUCCGGACUGGGUCCUGCCGUCGCCGCUGCUGCACUUCUGAACCGCCGCUGCACUGGGUCAUCUUCUACCACCGUCAUCGACCCUAGGGUGCUGCCGCUGCUGCUUUGAGCCGCCGGCCCCCAAGCCUCCCAAACCGCCGGCCUCCAAGUGUUGCGAGUCGCCCCGACCGAGUUGCCAUUGAGCCACCCCGGCCAAAGCGACUUCAUCUACGGCCUUCACACCUCUGAAACGGCCAAAGAGUAUACUACAAUUUGCACGCAGUGAACAUUAUACAAACUACUGCGAACUCUCGCAAAGCCUUUGAGAGGAUCAACACAAAAAUUCUUGGUUAUCUACGGAUGCCAUAUGGUGAUCAUCUGUCACCUAAAAUCAGGUGAUAUUUAUCUUACAUAUAUUGUUAGGUACAUGUUGAUUUCCUUCGACAAAAAACUACUCCGCCCUGUUGUAUGUUUUGUACGCAGGACAAUUGUGGUUUAUACCAUGGGUACGGAGCACGUACUUGCAACAUUGCGCCCGGUGUUCGUCCGUGCCUCGUUUCCCGGUAAAUGGACACGCAAGCCGCCACCCUUGCGGCCCGGACUACUUCAACUCAUCGGAACCGUCCCUGUGAUUGGCUCGUCCGUCCGCGCCGUCUUACAACGCCACGGACGACUCGCCCGUCCGCCCUCGCGGCCGGUUCACGUGUCUGCGCUAGCUUACAAACGCCGUGGCCGACUCGCUGUCCGCGCCAGCUUACAAACGUCGCGGCCGACUCACCCGUCCGCAUCGGUUUACCACGAUGUGGCCGGUUCACUCGUGAGCGACUUCAACUUCACCUAGCGAUCAUCAAUUUCAUGGCAGAUUAUUUCUGGCCUGGCACAUCAGGUGAUAUCCAUCUAAAAUAUAUUUUAUUGGUACAUAUUAUUUUGUCAAAGAGCAGUUUAUCUUUGUCUAGGUCUGCAAUAUUGUUGAUGCAGGACAAGUGUUCACUACAUCAAAACGGAGUGGUUAACUCGCCCGACUGCGCCGGUUUAUAACACCGCGGCCGGUUCGUCUGUCUAGGCCGCCUCUGAUGCUGAGGUCGUCUUUUCCGUCCGCCUCUCGCGGCCUGGUCUACAUCAACACACCGAGCAGCACUUAUCUGCAUGAGCUGUGUAUUGAGUAUGAGCAGGUCACUACUUGGGAAGCCCGGUUUUCUUCCAACAAAUUGGAGGCAAAUUAUCAUAUGUUAUCAGCCGCCGUCUGCACCUGGACGGCUCAAUGGACAUGCGCACAAGUCGCCAUCACUACAGUUUGGUUAAAGCUUCAAACAGCCAGUUGGAAGGAACCAUUGGCCGAGUUGCUGACACGGCUCAUAAGAGAUCAUUUAUAACCCGCCGCAGUCACCUCAACCUUCUGUGGAUACACAUUGUGUUAUCAACACCAAUGAUAUACAAGUUAUGCCGGUUUGUAUCACGGUUAAAUAUGGAGAAUCUCAAGCCAACUCCUCGAGUCAUCUUGAGACUCGGGGGCUACAGUGACAUGACUCGGGAACCCCGGGUCGUUGGAGGGAAUGAUAACCCGGUUCCGGAGGCUGCUACCAUAUCGAUGAAACUUUAAAGGCCGUCAGAAAAUUGCCGGUUCAAAUAAAGAUUCCGGUUUUAAAUCCGGUUCAAGAGAUAUUUUUUCUCCCGCAAAGUUUUGAAGCUCUCAAAUCCGGUUCAAACGUCCGGCUCAAGGUAAAUUUAUAUCUUAUAAAGCUUUGAAGCUCUUAAUAUCCGGUUUACAGAUUUCCGGUUCAAAAAGAGGUUAUCUCUCGCAAAGUUUGAGUUCUCAGGAAAAAUUAAAGGGACCAAAGAGAGUCUGUUACAAAGCACAACUCAGAUAUAGGUACCCUGCUUUAAUGACCAUUGGGAGCUGAUCGUAUUUGAAUUUGGCUUAACCCUUUUGGUGUGACCCUGAUCGUAUUCGAAUCAGAGUCGUUAAAUAUUCUCAUGAUCACUAGGGGGCUUCCUGUUCAAACAUAGGUCGUAUUCAAACCAAAGAGAACAUAGCUGUCGAUACCCUUUUGAUCGGCACACUGCCGAGCUCAUUGGGGAGUUUCUUGGUCAUAUUUGAACCAUAUUGGAGAUGACUCGAGGAGUCAUUUUUUGCUCAACUUAUUGAAGAUCCGACUCAUCACAUUCUAAAUGAGCCGGCCCUUGGGGGCUACCAAUUGCUCCUGUCGAAAAUUCAAGGUACACAAGCUUUAAUCUAUUAUAUUGAAAGAUCCAUUACUCAGUUGGUAGAGUACAAAGCUCUUAACCUUGUGGACGUGGGUUCAAGCCCCAUGGUGGAGAUUACAUCAUAUGUUGUUAUUAUCAAUGAAUCAUAUACAAAGUCCCAGCUCGGUAAUAUCUUACUGACCCGGCCCUUGGAGGCUACACGUUGCUAGUCAAAGUUUACAUGAUCAUAUUUACAAAGUCCCUGCUCAUUAUUAUAAUGACCCGGCCCUUGGGGGCUACACUGGUUGAAGUUUUUAUGAGCAUAAGGCAAUUACAAGUCCCAGGUUGCUGCAAGCAUGACAACCCGGCACUUGGGGGCUACAUAUGUGGAAUAUUCAGUUUAUGACUAAUGAUUGAGAUGAAUAACCCGGUUUUCUUCAAGGUUGCAACACUUAUAUUGGAGAAAGUCUUAAGUUAUCACUAUGUUCUCCUCUUAAGACUUGGGGGCUACAGGUGAUAUGCAUAUAAGGAAAAAAAUCAUCAAAUUCUCAGUUUUGAGUAGAUCAGAUUGACCCGGUGUUUGCAACAAUCAUGAUCCGGUGUCACCAAUAAUUAUGACCCGGCGUCGGCAACAGUUAUGACCCGGUGCUAUCAAUAUUUACAAGCCGACAAUUUUGGUUAUGAUAAACCGGCAAGUUUUACCUCUUCAAGCCAGCUGAAAGUCAGAUGAGUAUUUCAAGACCAAUAUAUUUUAAGUCGGUGCUUUGGAAGCCGAUUCAAGUGGAUUAUUUCUUACAAUAUUUCUCUACAAGAGACCAAUGCCAGCAAAUUGACUCUGAAGCUGGCCUAUUGACCCAGAUUUCUUAAAAGAAGUAUCUGGAUUUUUUGCAUUCACAAAGUUUGAACAUAUCUACUAAAGGAGAUUUGCGAUGAGUUCAUGGGCAUGUAUCAAGAAGGAAAUGACAAGGAUUUAAAGAUGAUCAGGUGUCGGCUUACAAAAAUUUAACCCGGAGCACAACCUAUCAAGUUUGUUCUUGUGUUUAUUUUACAGGAUCAGUUUAACAUGGAUGAAUCCAAAUCAAACUGGGGGCUAAUGUCGGGGAUAUACCCCGCGGUAUGACCCGGCCGGAAUUGGCGACUCACUGGUGACCCGCUCGGAGCUUGGCGAUUCACAGAUAACCUGCCCGAUCUUGGCGACUCAUUAGUAACCCGGCGGGCGGGUCAGAUGGACAACAAGGCCCAAGGCCCAGAAGGCCGGCUCACAUUUAUGAUGGGCCGGCUUAAGAAGGAAGGGGUGACGAAUAUUUCCUUUACGGGGAAGCAAGACCCGGACUUGUAAUUAACUUGUAAGAGAAGAUAGACUAGUCCUAGUCCUACUAGGACUCCACAUGUAACCCGCCCCUCUAACUUAUAUAAGGAGGGGCAGGGCUCCCCGAAGAAGGACAGGCAACAAGAAAUAAUCUCUAGGGCUAAACACCGAGAGCCGGUUCCCGGCGACUCUCCCGUGAUCAUAAUGAGACCUAGCCUCAAACAGCAUGUAGGGUUGUUACCGGAUGAUGUUUCCCGGGGCCCGAAGCUGUCUAAACCUUUGUCUUGUGCGUUGAUCCGCCCUGCGUCUCUCAUCCCAAUCAACCCCUCUCAAGCUACUACAUAGAUGCGCUGGCCUCACGACUAAGUCCUUACACCUAGGACAUCUGACGUGUUAAUUCCACGACAGGUCUGGUUUUUACUGAAUAUAUGGAAAUUAUAGCAACAUAAAAGAAAUGUAGAUUAAUUCGAGUUGUUCUUAUUUUACUGGUAUCAGCCGCAACAACAGAGUGUGCAUUUUCAACAAUAAAGCUUGUUAAAACAAGACUCCGUAAUAAAAUGGAGACAUAUUUCUUUUUUUCAAAAGUACGCAAAUUGCGUACCAUAGCUUUAUAGAAGAAGAGAAUAUCGGAUACAAGACAACUAGCACUCGCUGCGAACAACGAGCGUAGCACAACUCCACAUCUGGCUAGCCACGAACAUCCACACACGACAACACAACUACAACGCAACAUAGCCUGCACAAAACCGAGAGCCUCGCCGCGUCUUGACCGACGUCAGUCACCACCGAAGAACAGUAGCUCCCGAAGAAGGCACUGUCUUGGAAUCACCAGCGACGACCAUACAUUGCGCCGAAGCAGAACGAUCAGGGCAACGGCAAGCACCGGAGGAGCGCAACAUAGGAUCAUCAAGUCUCUUGGCACGAUGCUCCCAACAGAGGGAUGACGUCGCAGACGCCGCCAUCGUGUCGAUCCAGAACAGAAUCAAGGCUUUCGCCCGGAGACAGCUGCCAAUCCCAAGCAGGCGAGAGGGAUGGUGACACACUCGACGACGCCUCUGAGGAGGAGAACGACACCCACGGGUGCCAUCGCCGCCGGCCCGGUCAGAACCGGACAGGGUUUUCAUCCGUAAUGCCGCGCAUCUCCACACCUCCAAGGUUACGGGCAACAUUGACCAAGAUGCCUCGCACCGCCGUCACCGCAGCAAAUUGCCGUCAAAGCCGCACAACCGUGGUCCUUCCCACCUGCACUGCAGGCAGAACGCGGCCCAAUCCACCAACCGUAGCCCAGGAGCACCAACAUCCAGCCAUGUCGUGCAAGUGCCAGAGCGACCACGUCGGCCUUCACCCACACCAGGGGACUGCCACAGGAAUGGUUCUGACCCACACCUCCGACCACUCCGGCGCCAACUCCUUCGAGGCAUCACCGCUCGCCCCUCACGCGGAGGCGGCCGACCCCCCGCUGCCAGCCAGGAUCUCCUUCCUGGCAGGGCCUCCCCAGCGACGCCGCCUCCAUGGCUGAGCUCACGCUGCCACCAUCGUCAGAGCCGGCACACCACCCUCCUCCACUACCCUGUUGCGCACCUCGCCUGGAUCCGCUGCACCGCCGCGCUCCCUGCCGUGCACCAGCGGCCACCUCCGCGAAAUGCGUCGCCAACCAUCCCACCACCAUGGCCGAGGGGAACGUGAUACCAACCACACCUCCACCCCGACGGAAGGACAACAGCCAACCAACGCCACCGGCAGGGCAAGGGUCGCCAGCAACGGCUGUCACUCGCACAAGGGACGGCCUUGCGAUGCCAACGACACCCACGCUCCGGAUUGGAGCCGGGCAGGCCCAGAUCUGACCCGCCCCACCGCGGACCGCGCCUCCAUGCCUGCGUCACCAGGAGAAGAAUGCCGCUUGCCAGAUCACCCAUCUAUGGCCAGCGGCACGCUGCUCGCCAGGGACCUCCUGGCCGAGCCUCUCUGCGCCGCCAGAGACCUGGCCUGUGCUCGCGCCGCCACCUCGUGACCACACCGCCGCGCAUGUCCUCCACCAACACACCGCUGCCCAUGCCCAACCACCACCACCACACCGCUCCUCCACGUCCCCCGUCGCGCGCCGACGAAGAACCGCACUGCCGCCCGCGCCAGCCCCUGCGCAGCCCAUCGGACAGCUCGCCUCCGCGCGAAGGAGAGCCAUCCAAGACGCGCCGCCUCGCCCGCCGCCUUUGACGGCCGGGCGCGGCCGCCACCGCCGGCGCUGGCGGCGGCAGCGACCGAGGAGGGGGCAGAUCUGGCGCCUCUGCUCUAGGGUUGGGGGUCCUCCGGAGUCGCUCGCGCGAGCGACCCGGGAGGAGCAACGAGUUUUUUUGAAACGAGGAGGAGCAAUGCAGUGCUCAUCUAGACAUAUUUCUAAGAGAUUACUUGUUGAUCUACAUCGAGAAAGAGAUUGCAAUAUGAUUGUCGACAGAUACAAUUAUUGAUGAUUUCAAUACGACGAAAUGCCCCGCACUGUUUGACUGAAAUUUGUUAGUUAAUCAUCAUCUAAUUGUACAUAUUCCAUACAUGUUAACACUUAACGGGUUAUAAUAGUACGCAUUUUGCUAUACAUUCCGUACACCUUAUUACAUUUUAGAGUUGUGAGAAACAGAUUCAGAUCCUUUGUUUGUGUUUCUCUCUUCUGCCUUGUCUAGUCUAUUCUAGCACUCUCUCGGAUCCAUAUUAAUUGGCGCAGCUUUAGUACAAAGUUAUAUGAGUUAAUUGCAAGGAACUGCCACAUUUCGGCACGCUGUGACGAAUCAGUACCACUAGUCACUUUUUUGCCAUGCAGUAUCAACUCUAAGCCUAAGUGUUGCAAAACGGUCUGACAGCCGUAUAAGCGCGUAUUGACCACGUAUCUGGCCUACCGGGCCCACGUGUCAGGUGCCACGGUGGCUUACCCGCGCGCACCCGCGCGGUCACUCGUCCCAGCCGGCUCGGUCGCACCAAGUAGCUGGGUCGGGUCAAACCCGUACGCGACGAACCCUAGUUUCCUCUCCCCCUCCCUCGUCUCCCUCUCCCCUCUCAGGCGAUGGCGGCGGCGACUCCCGGCGGCGCCGACGGCGCGGGCGGGUACGGAGACCUUCCUGCACUACAAAAAAAAUACACUUCCGUGAUGAUACGUGUUUGUCACAGUAGGUCGCGUUUUUGUCAUGCAUGUACAUCCAUGACAAAUUUAUGACAGAAUCAAGAUAGUCAUACCUGUGCUGUCGUAGAAGUGUUCCAUGACAUUACCAAAAUUAUUAUCACGGAAGUGUCCACUUCCAUGACGAUAAAUCGCGCGUCACAGAAGUGCUUUCGUCAAGGGUGACCGACACGUGGCAUCCACCGUAACGAAACGCCGUUAAGCUAUCGGGUCCGGUUUUGGAUCCGAUAACCCGUUAACAACCACGACCAAUGGGGAUUUUCCACGUGUAAAAUCAUCAUUGGCUGGAGGAAACAGGUGUCGGCUCACCGUUGGAACAGAUGUCAUCCACUCAUUGGACCCAAAACGCCUAUGAUACGUCGACACGUGGCACGGCCCAACAGAGGCCCAUUCCUGUGAAAAGGCCGGCCCGUUUGACUUGGUCAAAAGGUGGCGGGCCGGCCCACGGCAAGCCUGUUAAUGGCCUGUUCGCAUAUAGCCCAAUUAUAGCCCGCUAACCCAGGGCCCGUUUACGGCCUAACCGAAUUAGGCCCAGUAGCGUCAUCUGGGCCGUCCAAUAUAAUUCCAGCCCAUUUUAACUUCCGGCCCAUGUAUGGCCCAUGACGUCUUUCGGCCCAUAUGAGGCCCUUAUUACUCUCGGCCCAUUAACGGCCCGUGGUAAAACUGGCCCGUAAUGAACAGUGUAUCACUUUAUACCCAUUAACGGCCCGUGGUGAAACUGGCCCGUAAUGAACACUGUAUCACUUUAUACCCAUUAACGGCCCAUUAUUCCGUUGGGCCGUUUCCAGCCCAUGUUAUCUUUCGGCCUUCUCAGGGCCCAUUUAUUCUUGGGCUCAUUUCCAGCAUUCGGUUACUUACGGCCCAUUACUGUCAUUUUCUGCUUGUGGGCCAAAUUCAGCUUGUGCUUACCGUCGGCCCGUUUGUGGCCCGUUAAUACGUUGGGCCGUUUUCAUAGCGUCAUCAAAUACGGCCGAUUAACGACGGCCCAUUAUGGUCGGCCCAUGAAUAGACGAUUCCAACUCUAGCCCGUUUACGGUCAUAAAGCGGUAUGUUAUUGGCCCAUGUUUGGGCAAUCGAUCAUACGGCCCGUAGAAGGCCCAUUGAUAAUAGGGCCCGUAGAAGGCCCAUUGUUUCUACGCCCCGUAGAAGGCCCAUUGUUUCUACGCCCCAUAGAAGGCCCAUUGUUUCUACGGCUCGUAGAAGGCCCAGUGUCACUACUAAAUAUGUAGCCCAUGGUUAUUGUGGCCUAGUUUAAAAAAAGGUUAUUGCGGCCACUAGCAAACCAUGGAAAAAGAACAGCACUGACUACAAGCAAACAAAUAAACAAGACAACAAGGAAAUAAUUAAGCAAGCAACUUACGCUAGGCUAUCACGGCUAUUACACAUAUUACAUCCACUGGGCAUCAAAGUUCGUCACCAGUGCAAAUAUAGGGAACAAAGCAGCAUAUCAUAUACACUGGUUGUCAAAGUUGGCGACCAGUGCAAAUAAACACCGCAGCAAAACAUGUCCAGAACUGAAACCACUUCAGAAGAUCUCAAGAAACAAUAUCCUGGGUACCCAUAAUGCUGGCAAGAUGCUUAGCAAGCUUAUUAACUUUCUCUUGUUUGGCGCUUAAAUCCUCCAGCGCUUGCUGUUGCACCAGAAAGUAUGCAUCUGAAUUCUGCAGGGACUUCCUCUGUCCUUCAGCUUCCUAUCGCAACACAUCUGAUCGAUGUCUUUCAACUUGAAGCUGAGACUCAAGAAGACGAACUGAUUCAGGCAGCGAGUUCGAAGAGCUUGUGCCAGCAGUAGUGGCCAGUAACUCGAACACUACAUCAAGACAGGACUUCUGGGUUCUCUCACUAUCGUCAAGGUAGUUUUUAUCAGCUUUCUUGGAGACCAACAAGGAUGUCUCACUAUCUUGAACCUUAUCUGCAUUACUUCCUUCACCAUUGCAUAAUGGGGUACUGUUCUCCAAUAUUUUGUCCGCAUUCUAAAAGAGAAACAAGCAGACACAUCACAGGUUUACCAUGUUGUAUAUGAAACUCAUUUUGGUAAAUCAGUUCAGUAGUAAAGUGCACAUGAUAACAGCAUGAAACAAACAUAUAUCUAUGUACCAUGGUCACUUUAUGGUCUAUAUCAUUCUAGUUUUUGUUGCCAAAUCAAGAUAGAGACACAGUUUAAAUAAUAUUUGUUCAAGACAAAGCAGAAUAGACAGAAUAUAAGUGUGGGAAACUAUAGAGACACUUGUAAUGUGCAUGACAUGAGAACGUUACUGUUUAUUCAAUUGAAACUGAAAUCAAUAUAGAGCAAGUUACAACAAGAAACCAGUUAAAGAAACAAGUUUAAAACAUACAUGUUGCGCCAUUGGAGUUUCAAUUCCAUCCUUCAAAUUUGAAAAUAGUUGGUCUGAGUAAAUACAGUGAUGCAAGAGCAAAGGAGUAUGAACCAUAGCUACAGAACCUGACCUGAGAACAAUUCUUCUUCUCCUUUAAGCGUUGAGUUGGGAUUCAGAGUGGUGGUCCUCGUGCUUUGGGCACUGCAGUUCCCUUACUAACUGCUCGUGUUUGGGUGCUCUGUGGUGGAGACGGUGCUGUGUCAACUGGAACUGGGUUACUAUCUGCUGGGGUUGGGGUUAGAAGGGGUGUAGCUGGUUCUCUGUCCAACUGGGUAGGGGUACAAUCUGCGAGAGUCUGGGUUAUGUGUGGUGGGGCUGGUUCUUGGGCAAGUACAACCGUGGUUCUAUCUGCAUCAACUGGUAGCACUAUCUUUUCUGAAGACCGUGUUGUUACUCCCUUAGAUACUGCCAUCACCCUCUCCAAUUCAAAUGGCUGAGAAACAAGAAAAGUAAUUGAAUGUACAGACAUUGUAUGAUAGACAGGUGCAAUGGAUAGUGGGGAAUAAAAGAGGGCAUGAAAUAAUUCACAUUUAUGUUGUCUAACCAAACAGGAUAGCAUGACACAAUUUCACAUAUAUGAUGGCUAACUAAACAGGAUAGCAUGAUACAAUUUCACAUUAUGAUGGCUAACUAAAAAAGAUGGAAAGACAUAGUUCAAAAUAUGAUGACUAUGUAAACAGGAUGACAUAAUAUAACUAUAUAAUGUGUUUAUUAAAUAGAUUGGCAUGCCAUAAUUCACAUACAUGCUGCCUAUGGAAACAUGAUAGCAUGAUAUAAUUCCCGGAUAGAAUGACAUAAUUCAAAAUAUGAUGAUUGUAAACACUAAACAGGAUGAGAUGAUAUAACUAUAUGAUGUCUUUAUUAAAUGGGUUGCCAUGCCAUAAUUCAGAUAGAUGUUGUGUAUGUAAACAUGAUGGCAUGAUAUAAUUCAAAUAUAUGAUUUAUAUAGUAAGCAAGUAAGCAGAUGGCAAUCCAUAUAUGAUGUAAAAACUAAGCAAUGCAAGACAACAUGCAUGACAUGGGUAAUAUAACCCUGCCAAGUUUGAGCAUAGACCUCAGGGGGGAAAUAGGACUGGUCAUCAGUCUCUGAAUCCUCCUCUGAGGAGCUCUGUGUAUCCAGCAAGAUGUCUGCUUCAGCAGGUAGCAUUGUCUGCUCUGAAUACCUUGUUUUCACUCCAGAUACUUCCAUCACCGCUUCAAAUGGCUGAUGCACAGGAAGAGUAGUUGAAUAUACAAAUGUUGUCGACAAAUGGAACACGUAAUACAAAAAAAAUGAUAGCAUGAUAUAAUUCACAUACAUGAUGAUUGGCUCAACAGUAUGGCAUUGCAUAAUUCACAUAUAUAAUGCCUUUGCAACAUGAUAGCAUUGCAUAAUUCACAUACAUAAUGUCUUGCAACAAGAUGGCAAUGCAUAAUUCACAUAUAUGGUAAUUAGACACUAAGCAGGUGGCAUUCACACAAAGCACGUUUAAACUAAUCAAAUGACAUCGCAAUGCAAGACACCAUACGCACGAUAUGAGCAACAUAACCCUGCCAAGUUAAUUAGAGCAUACACCUCGGGGGGAAAUAGGACUGGUCAUCUGUCUCUGAAUCCUCCUCUAAGGAGCUAUCCGUAACCAGCGAGAUAUGCGCUUCGUCAGAUAGCAUAGUCUGCUCUGAAGACCUUGUUUUCACUCCAGAAUGUACUAACAUUGUUGACAAAUGUAAUACGUAACGAAAAAAAGGAUGGCCUGAUAUAAUUCACAUAUAAGAUGACUGGCUAAGCAGGAUGGCAUUGCAAAAUUCACAUAUAUGAUGCCUGGCUAAACAAGAUGGCAUUGCAUAAUUCACAUAAACGAUGAAUAAACUAAAUAGAUGGCAUUCACACAAAACAUGUCUAAACUAAGCAGUUGAUGUAUAAAGUAAGCAAUGCAAGGCACCAUAUGCAUGAUAUAACCAACAUCAGCAUGCCAAGUUAGAGCGAAGACCUCAUGGGGUAAAUAGGAGUGGUCUUCUACUUCUGAAUCCCCCUCAGAACAGUUAUCUUCCUCUUGAUUACGAUCCGAAAUGGGUGGAGGGGGGGUUGCCUUUGCGCCCACCAUGGAGCGACGUCUGCAUGAAAUUUUAUUACCACGCAAGGCUCGUCUCUUUUGCUCUACAUGUUGAGUUCCAUUGUGUACAAUAACUGACAUGCAUAUGAAUAAAACAUAGUGAGAUUAUGUAAGGAGUGCAUGCACAAAUCCAGAGUGAUGGUAGCACACUGUGGAUAGACCCAAAACCAAUGAUAGCAGGCAGAUAAUAGCUUUAGUUAAAAAAUACAGAUAAUGGCUCCUUUAAUGUUUGUUUGCACCCAACAUGAAACUCAUAGUAGACACCCGAGAUUAACCAGAUAGUAGACAGAUAGUACUGAUUGCUGCCCCAAUAUGUACCCCACAACCAUUUAAAAACUCAAGUUUCAGCAUAAGUUUGGACCUGACUCGGAGUCUAAUAGGUGAACACGACGAUAAAGUAGCAUGUCAUCAUAUUAAGCGAUGCAUAACGUAAGCAGACACGGAAGAGUACGACCUCUCUUGCGGACCCAUGUAGUCCUCAAGGUCAUCUGCUCAGUUGAUGAUGGUAAUGCAGUUUUCGUGGCUGCCAGCGGCGGGGAAGAAGAUCUAAGGCGGCGAAAGACAGUCUGGAGAGCGGAUCCCUGCUGUGGUGAACCCUUCCAUCAUUGGAGCAGCUGAGCUGGGGUGGAACACAGCACCGCAAGAGCAGGACAAACCACACAAGGUUUUCUUUGACACAUAUCUGUAACAGAAGUAAUUGUGUAAGGGCUUGUUUGAAUUUGAGGAUUCUAACAAUGCAGGGAUAGGAAAUAGACAUGAAUAGGAUAGGAAUGCACGUGCAAAACAGAGAAUUUAAAAACACAUGAUUUCUGCCAAUCUGGGUGUUUCGUUCACAAGAAUUGGAAGAUCACAGGAUGCAAAGAAGCAUGGUGAGAUUAAGUCAAACCACAAGAAGUGUACAACCUCUUUGGCGAAGCCAUGUCAAUCUCAGCGUGAUUGGGUUGGCCGGUGAGGAUGCUCCGACUGACUUGGCUGUCGGAGGAGGGGAAGAAGAUCUUAGGCAUCUGGAGAUGGAGCCCGAGGUACUGCUCCGCUGUGAUGGAGGGUUUCGUCGUUGGAGCAGCUCCGGUGAGUUGUACGAAGCCGAGGCUGAAGCAGGACAAGAGAGACAACGUCAACCUGAGUGGAAUUCUAAUAGCAUCUCCAAUAGAUGACGUAAAAUACAUAACCACAAAGUGCUAGAUGUGUACAUCAGCCGCUCAUCUCGGAACUUAACUAUCGAAACUGAAUUUUGCUGUCGAAACUGAAUUUUGCCGUCGAAACUAAAUUUUACUGUCGAAACUGAACGCACUAGAGGUGAGGCUACACGUCAGUCGACUGACUUUUUCAUCUCUGGUCAGUCGAUUUUGCAGCCAUUGGAUACGAAAUCAAGGGCCUGUAGUUCAUCUUCAACCUCCACCCCCCUGAGCCGCCAGCCACCACCGGCCAAAUAGUCGCCCCCACCGCCCGCGGCCGGCGGUGCGCCGCCCCGCCCGCCCCGAAAACACUUCCCACCGCCGGUCCGCCGCCGCCCCGGCCAUCCCUCUAGCCUCCCCCCCCGUGCCGAGCUUUUUCUCUGGCGAUCCCCACGCCACCGCCCCACCACCACCGGCGACCACCGCCCCCACCCUGAACCCUAAGAUAGAUAGUGGGGUACUUCUCCGGCGAGCUCCCCUCCCCGCUGCGACUGGUUCUUCCUUCACUCCGGCGAGCCCCCCACCCCCUGAAAAUCGACUGACCCAAAAGUCGAUUCAGUCGACUGAAGUGUAGGUAAAUCGGAGUAGCAUCGCAAGCAAGAGCAAGAGUGAGAGCAGCAGCGCGAGCAAGAGCAAGAGCAGACCAGGCAGGGGACCGAGAGCAAGAGCAGAGCAGCAGCGCGAGCGAGAGCUAAAGCAGCAGCAGCUCCUACUGAUGUGGACGUCGCCGCCGAGGGAGCGACGCCGUGGAGGAAGUGGCCGGCGACGCCGCGGUGGAUGGAGUCGCGUCGUGUCGGCUCGGGACCGAGCGCCGGCAGCACCGUGAGAUCGAAUCAAGAAGAAAAUGUGGCGAUUAGUGUACAACCUCUUUGGUGGCGCCGAUUAGGCCGCAACUUCAUCCGAGGAAACGGUGAUGCUGAUGCUCUUUCGGUGGUGCAGGUGAAGACGGCGGUGUGGGAAUGGAGGUGGCGCGAAAGACGAGGUGAACAUUGAGGCAGCUCCUUGGAGGUGGAGGAUGGGGUGGCUGAACCGGCAGGACGAUCAGAUCGACGACGGAUCCUCAUCCGGUACGGUGGAUGAGGGACGUCGAGGUGUUGCUGUGGACGACGUCGUUAGGGAAGAGGCUCCGGCUGGGUGGCGGACGGAGGAGGGUGUGGGGCUUCAUGAGUUUUCCCGGCCUCGGUGUACGAAUGGGUGGGCGGAUGGGAUGGGAGUGGGGAACCAUGGCUUAGGGACGCGCUUGUCCGAAAUGUGGGGUAAGUUACGAAAGUACCCCUACUGAUUUGAGGCGGUUCUUUCGGUUCAGGGGUAUCAGGGGCAUUUCGCGUGUCGGGAUUUCACAGGAGGUGGGAGUUUUCGCGUGCGUUGUAAUUUUGGAAUAGCAAGGCGCGGGUUGAGAACUUGAGAUGGAGGGAGUUGUCGGAGCACAACGAGACAAAGAUAUAUCUUAAAUAUUUCGGGCUAACAAGGCGCGGGUUGAAGAGGCGGGAGUUUCGCGGCACGAUAGACAGAGACGCUAGCUUGAAAUUUCAGCAUAACAAGGCGCGGCUUGAAAUUUCGGGAGAACAAGCUUAACGUGUACCCAAAAGAAAAAAAGACAACUUAGACUAGUAUGAUAUACUACGUACAAUGUGUUUAACACGCACAACACACACACAGACACCAUUUAGACUUAGUAAGGUACACGUGCAUUGCACGCAUGAGAUUUGGCAACCAAAUUUUGAAUAAAUACCACAUUAUAGUAUGUAAGCUUUGAGUCAUAUAUGCAUGAUGUAGAUGUUCGUUUAAUUCUUAUAGUUCAUUUCAUUCAAAAUCAUCUACUUUUUAUAAGAAAGCUAAUCUAUUUUAAGAUUCAUGGAAUUGUGUGUUGUAAGGCAUAAAGUAAAAACAAAUCAUGUAGAAAAACAUUUGGGCAAUUCUGAUACGGAAGAUUCUAGAACAAAGAAGAAGUGCUUGUGUUUUGAGGUUUGUGCAUUAUGCUUAAGUUCAACCAUAGAGUCUUCUAGAUUGUACAUGUGGCAAAAUCUGGUGGAAUCUAGAUGAUAUCCAACGACCAGUAGUGCUCAAAUUUGCCAACUCUGCACCAUCAGAUUGGCCUCAUCCAACGACCAUCUUUCAAAGUUAAAGUUAUCCGCACACUAUAUAAAAAAUAUUAUAUAUAUAUAUAUGGGUAUAGAUAUAGAUAUGUGAUGUGAAAGCCACCCAUCAUCUCCAAUUAGAGUAGUGUGUCCAUGCACGGAUGCAAUGUGGCCAAACGAUGUCUGCCAUCGGUAUCUGAAAUUCAAACCAGUCUGACCUUGUUCAAUGUGUAUACAUUACAACAUGCUCAUUUCCAAACCACACCGCGCAGAUCUCCGUUAUAUUCAUGCAUGCAUGGGUUUCAAACAUCAUGAUCUCUUAUUCAAAUAUUUGAAUUCAACUUUACAUUGAUUAUGACCUCACCUAGUCUUUUACACCCACACAUUGGUCUUCUCUUUAUAAUUGUACCACUAACUUUCUCUCGUGCAUGCAUGCACACACACUACUAGUCGGCAUUAUCCAUCGCACACAUGCAAUCUUUUUCUUCAGGUCGGUCUCCCAUGAAGGUACACACACACACAUCCCCCUCUCCAUCAUAUCGGGCAUUCUUUAUCUCUCACGUGCAUGCGCAAUGAUCGAUGUUCUAUGUGUGUGUAUAUAGUUAGGUCUUUCAUAGUUUUCCACAUAAACCGAUCAAUCUAUAUAUCUAGUGAGGUCUCACCCUCUUUCCCACGUCCACAUCGAUCAAUCUAUACCUCUCUAUAUAGGAUUACAUAUAUAGCUAAUACACCCACAUUAAUUAUAUAUCCAACGCCCCCUCUCAUCAUCCAUGCCUUCCGCUUCAUCUCUCAGAUGCGCGCACAAUGGCGAAGACAGGGGGCAGCAAGGGCCCUGCCCCCCCUAACAUCACUAUAUAUCGAGGCUAAUAUGAAUGUGAUCAUUAGACAAUUGCUGGUAAAAAUGGUUUAAGUUGAUGAAUUGGCCCUCCUCGUAAAGGAUUAGCAAUGCUUGGCCCCCUAGCUCACUAUAUAUCUAGUUGAAUUGCCAUUAUUUGUUUUUACUUUAUGCUUUACAACGCACAAUUACAUGAGUCAUAAAAUAGAUUAAGGGCUUCUUUGAUUCAAAGGAUUCUCGAAGGAAUUUUGGAGGAUUCUAAUCCUUAGGAAUUUUUCCUAUCUUGGUUGUUUGAUUCGUAGGAUUGUAAACCAUAGGAAUUUUUCCAUAUGAUUCAUUUGCACUAGAUUUCAUAGGAAACAUCCCAUCCACUUAAACCUCUUUGAAAGAAUUCUGCGUUUUUUCUAUGCACAAUCAAACACUUGUACCAUCCUGUAGGAUUCAAGAUGACAUUCCACUCUAAUCCCAUGUUCUUCCUAUUCCCGCGUUUUGGAAAUCCUACGAAUCAAAGAGGCCCUAGGUUUUUUAUAAAAACUAAUCGAUUUUGAAUGAGAUGAACUAUAAGAAUUAAGCGAAGGUCUACAUCAGGCAUAUAUGACUCAGAGCUUACAUGCUACAGUGUGGUAUUUAUUCAUAAUUUGGUUGCAAAAUCUGACGCGUGCAAUGCACGUGUACCUUACUAGUACUUCGAGUAUGUGCAAAACACAAUGGCACGCUACACAGUGUCUCUCUUACAGUUCAUGAAGCCACGUGGCACAUGUGGAGGCGUUGUCGCGACAUCCUUGUGUGGAUUGAUCACAGUGACGUGCUGCUGGUUCCAGAAGAAUGUACUCGUCCUCCCUGAGCUGCACUAGCGGUACAUGCACGAAGCGAAGAUGUGCACGCACGCCACGCACGCACUCAUUCCCUCGCACGCACACGCGGGUACACAGGCGGACGCAAUUUUGUACCAAGAUCCACCCCAUGUGAUAAUUUGACGCGUGUAAAGUCCUUCACUUCAUUGAUGGUCAAUUAAUACAGCGCAUGCAAAUUGAGUGGGCGUGAGGGCGGAAGAAAGACAUUACUACUCCACUGCGCGCAUGCGAGUAGUUAAAUCAUGGGUUGCUAGUAGUACUUACAUUGGUCUCCUUCGUAUUUUGUGCCAAUUUUUGACAGUAACAUAAUAUUUACGCAUCUGAGCAGUGUAGUCUACUUGAAAUUUAUGUUCCACUAAACUCAUCGGGGACCGUUUUGGGCCUCGAAACCAAAAACUAUCAAUUAAUCUUUACCUUGUUCCCAUCACAUUCGAAAGUACUAGUGCUACAAUUAAGUGCAAGCCUGCUCACACCUACCAGUACGUACCAAACCUGAACGUGUUCCCACUAUGCAGGUUUUAGUACUAGUGCUAGUACUUAGGUUAUAAAAAGGGGAACUACCUAACCAAAAAUUACUCUACCUUCCUCCUCAUAAGUCAUCCUUCUUCGUCCGUCCUUGCCAUGGCCGGUGUGCAGAGCUCUAGGUCGAGAACUACUCGUAACAAGGGAGGGGCAACCAAGGCUGCGGAAAAAAAGAAAGGGCUCGCCGCCACGCAGAGACCUCGAAAGAUCUCUCACGGGCAGGCGAUGGCUCCCAGGAGCGCCCUAGACGUGGAGGCGAACAUGCCGAGCUGGCGGCGCUGGAGUCGUUAUCCCUCGACGGCAUGCCCGAUCAGCUCAAUAAGCACCUCAAUAAGCAGAAGGAGUUCAUCCACGGCUUGGUGGAGCUGCUGAAGGAGAGCCUCGACGACAUGCCCGCUGAGCUCAAUGAGCAGGGGGAGUUGACCGCCGGCUUGGUGAUGCUGCUGAAGAAGAGCAUUGCCUCAGAGAAGAAGGCCACCGGCAAAAUCCUGCAACUUCAGGAGGACAAGGCGAAGCUCUGCCACGAGCUCGACCUGCUGAAGGAGGAGAACGCCGGCUGGAAGAAGCUGCAUGAGAAUAGUAGUUCCUCGAUGAAGAUGUUGCAGGCCCUCGUCAUGGAACAGAAGGAGGAGUUGGCGAAGCUCCGCAUCGAGCACCCGGCUGCUGUGAAGGUAUGUAAUGCGGCCGUGGAACAGAUGAUGAAGGCUCGCAUCAAGAAAUCCCGCGUCAUGGACACAAUGAUGAAGAUGGCGGAGGAGACGCGCAAGGAGAUGGAGGUCGUGGAGGCGAUGAAGAAGCAGUUACGACUCCGCGGCCAGCAACCCUUCAUGUAGUGAGAGCAUCGCCCCAGACUUGUGUGUGCGUCUUCCUUCUUUUUUGGGGGUGAUAAUCCUCCUUCUUCUUUUGCUCCUGUGUUUCUUAUUUUGCUUCGGGUGUUUCGCCGCACGUGUCACCUUCUCUGCGAGGCAUGAAUAGAACAAUGCUAAAAAUGAGAUGACUAGCAAAUUAGAUCAUUCUUUAUCGCCAAUAGAACAAUGCCUCUUGCUUGUAAUAUAUAAUAAGAGUAGAGAGUAGAGGAUAUGGCACUGGGCUGCCGUGUUUCGUGCUCCUCCGUCGUACUCCAGUGGAAAACUUGAGUAUACCGCAUGGUUCUUUGCUCCUCCUCAGGUCGUCGGCACAUUUAUACGAGCAGUCAAAUCACAAGGCCCCGCCUUCCAGCAGUAAUGAGCCGUCAAAUCACAAAGGCCCUCGCCUCUCGUGAAAAGGACCAAGCUAGUCUACCCCGCCCUCUAGCCUUUAAAAAUGUAUACAUUUGUACAGUAGUAGUAUCGAUGGAUUACACCAUGGAGCAAAACUAACAAGAUGUAAUUAAAGAAAAAAGGUGGUACAUAUAGAGAGUGCUCGUCGCCAAAUUAUACAUAUACUAUAUGACAUUACCCACUAUGAAGGUACUAGUAACAUACUCCGACUAGUAACUAGUCUAUGCAACUCUCCACUAUGACUAGCCAAAGUCGAGGCGCGGAUACCAACGAGGGCCUGGUUGUGUCUAUACUUGGACAACUCACCCGAUUGCAUGCGCACCAGGCAGAUGAAGCUCGUAUCGUGUUGGUGCUGUGUGCGGCCCGCACAUUAACCAAAACCUCGCGCCUCCAUCUCAGCCUCCGCGUUUUAAACUUCUCAAUCUCAAGGCCAAGGAGCAACGUGAAACCUAUGAUAGAGCCAAUCGGACGGUUGAGAACACUACAAUUUGUAGCUACAGAUGCGUGUGAGAGAGAGGACGAGUGCGUGCGUGCACCUCUUCUCAGAGUACAAGUGUAUGUGGGUGGCAUCGACCUAGGGAGCAGUGAUGGUGCAUGCGAGAAGUCCCGAGAGAUAGGUGUAAUGCGUCUGAAAAAAGACUAGUCUAUAGCUCGCCACGAGGCUAUUCCUGUCGAACGCCAAGUGUAAGAUAUGUAUCCGACGGUGCCAGUUUUUGCACGUACACAGCAGUAGAAAAAGAACUAGUACCAUGGCAUAUGCUACACCAUGGCCGAGAAAACGUGCCGACGUUACGCCAUCCGGGAAUAGUGCCGCACUUCGAAACUAGAACCAUCAAUAAAUUUUGAGCGCGUCUCGUCACAUUCCAAAUUACUACUACUACCACGCUAUAUUUAAUUGCAAACCUGUUCACACCGAUCACAACCUAAACGGUUUCCCACUUAGGAGCGUACUAGUAGUACUCGGUUAUAAAUACUACUAUGCUAAGAUGACUGCACAUUCCUCCUCAACUCCUCAUCCACAAAAAACAAUCAAGUCAAUCAAGCCAUGGCCAGCGUGAGUUCUGGGUCGAGAGAUUUCCACCAGGGAGAGGUGAGCAUGGAAGAGGAAGCACGAGAGAUGUCCCGCCUCGCCGCGAAAGCAGCCGACAUGUCCAGCCGCGCAGCAGUAGCAGCAUAGAGGUCCCGCCGCGCCGCCGAAGCAGCACGGAGGUCCCGCCGCGCCGUCGAUGUAGCAGACUGGUCCGGCCACGCCGCGGAAGCAGCAGAGAUGUCCCGCCGUGCCGCCGAAGCAGCACAGAGGUCUCGCCGCGCCGCGGCGGCCUGGGAAAAUUUCUCGCGGGCAGGCGAGGACUCUUACAGGCGCAUGCGUGCGAUGGUCCAUAGCCAGAUGGAUCAGAUCUCCGCUGGGCGAGGUUGCAGGACGAGGCUACCGGCGUCAUCCGGCAACUAGGGGAGGGCAAUGCGAAGCUCCGGGGCGAGCGCGACCUGCUAAGGGCGAAGAUCGCCGGAAGGGCGAAGCAGGUGGAGGAGACCGCUGCCUUGUUGCGGAGGACGGGCGUCAUCAUCAAGAAACUUAUGGACGAGAAUGCCAUGCUCCGCAUCGAGCGCAACAGACUGGUAGAGGAAUCCGUGGAUGCUGCCAAGCAGCGUAUUAAGGACAUGAAACUGAUGAAAGAGAUCAUCGCCCGCCGCGGGAACUAGUCUCCGCGACCUACAGCGCAUAAAGAAAGUAGAGAUCAGCGAGCCAGAUUGUUGUAUGCGUCUUCCUUCUUCUUUUGCCCUUGUGUAUUUCGGGCGUAGCCCGAUUUGGCUUUUUUAAUUAUCUUCCUAAUUAUGUAAGACAAUUAUUAUCCACUCUCGUCGUCCUUAUAUAUAUUCAUCAGUCUUGCUAUAAUUCGCAGUAGAUGCUAUAUAGGUCCGUCGGAUCUUACAUCAAGAUCCGUGCAAAAUUUUCUUUUUAGAUUUUCUUUUUUCUCUCUUAAAUCUUAGUCGAGUGAGACAUUGCCACGCCAUUAAACAGAGGCUCAAGCGCCAUUAAUGGAGACCUUGGGAGAGAGGUGGACAGCAGAUGGAAGUCAAAGGGCUCUCCUCCCGAUAAGCACGCGCAGGGGUCUGAUCGCACGCCUCCCGUACUCAAAUAGCUACCCUGCACGGCGCCUCCCAGCUAAUAAAAAAAGGGGACGCGUGGCGGCACGUAAAUGGUAAAUAGAACGCCCACGGUUUCAAUAAUACUUCUGUUUCCGAUUGUAACAUGACAACACUUGUUCCAAAAUGACUUUGUUGAUUGUUAAUGUGUGCGCCUUCGCAAAUCGGACAGCAAAAUUACCACAGCAUGUUGGUGCCAUGUCAUGACACCAAGCCAAGUUUCAUGAUUUUCAUGCGUGUUUCGGAUUUACAGGAAUUAAAAAACCAAGUUCCAGACGAGCCAUGACGCCCAGAUGUUUGAAUUUCAUUCCCAUUUCUCGCAUGGGACCUAGAAAUUUACACGAGAACACACAUGUGAUUUUUCAACCAGCUUUGGUGCACUGGAGCAUGUGCUUGUAUUUAAAAUUUGAAUUAUGCACACAAAGGUGACACGUCCCCUCUCAGAACCACGAGCCUUCUUGAGAGAAGCUCUGGUUUGCAAAAAGCUUAUACCAAAACUUGUUCCCAUUCUGCAAUUUUUUUACCACAACAUGGUAGUACCAUGACAUGACACCGUGCCAAGUUUCAUGAUUUUCAGGCGUGGUUUGGAUUUACAAGAAUUUUAAAACCAAGCUUCUCAAUGUUAUCGGCUGAACCUCAAUGCCCAGAUGUUUGAAUUUCAUUCCCAUUUCUUGCAUGGGACGUAGAAAUUCACCCGAGGACACACAUGUGAUUUUUCAGUCAACUUUGGUGCACGGGAGCAUGUGCUUGUAGUUCAAAUUUGAAUUAUGCACAUUAAAUGACCAGAAACUCAAUUAAUGUAUAAAAAAGGCCAAACGAACCCGGAAUAAUUCCAAAAUUUAACAGGGCACUCAUAUAGUUCCAUGUUGCCUCUUUAAAGAAAAUCUGGGGGGAGGCCGCGUAUAUUGUUUCGCACACAAAGGUAUAAAGAAAUAAAGAAAUUAGCAUACCUAUUUAAUUCUUGGGUUCUUAUUAUUUAUGCCACUAGUUGUGUAUCACUACUCAGUUUUGCCAUUAGAAGUUACAACUACUCAAAAAAUGCCAUUGAUCCGUGAGAUGCCUGCUCAAAAAUGCAAUUAGAUAUCUAAAAAAUGCCAUCGUUAAGUUAGAUGUUUGCUCAGAAAUGCCAUUAGACAUUGUUAUUUUCACGUCAAACCCGUUGACCAUGUUACAUGAAAAAAAUAAGCCGAUUCUCACAAUGAUAAGUUAAUGGUGUCCAGCACAACACACCCCUCAAAUAAAACUAAGCACCCUGGAAUUCUUUGACAAAACUAAGCACCCUGAAAUUCUUUGACAACUAAACUGCCGGCUAUAUGAUGUUGGCCAUAUAUAUUGUACGUAUAUAAUGUUAAGAAACGAGUGGUAUUACUGUACCAACUAAAAGAUGAAAUGUACGAAAUAUAACGAGAAGAAACAUAACAUAGUUCUACUGGGGGCUCAACACAACACACCCCUCAAAUAAAACUAAGCACACCAGAAAUUAAACUAAGCAACUAAUCCGGUAGACACCGCAUUAGAACCACCAUGAGCAAUGACACUGCCACCUUACUCGGAGUCCUCGUCCACGUCCUCGACUUCGUCCUUGUCCCUCUUCCUCUUGGGCGAUACUUCUUUGCUUGAACCGCACACUUGGCUCUUGCUCUUCAUCCAACCCUUGUAGAUAUGGAAACAAAGGUAGCCAUCCAUUGUAGCGUAGUGGAUGUGGUCCAUAUCUAGUACAUUCCACUGCCAUGCAUGACGAUGAAACGUGUACGGAGGUUUCUCUAGUUUACCAUACGAAGGAUGAACCAUGGCUCCUACCAGGGUCAGCAUUGAAGGCUGAUCAAGGGAGGGCACCAGCCCUUCCUUCUAGAGGUCGAAGGGGUCGCCUACAACAAGGCCUAUCCGACCCAGGAUUUCCUUGUCGUUCCUAAAGUCUACAGUAACGAAUUUGACUCGGCCGCCCUUGAGGAACUUCUUAAAUUCCUCGCACUCAACGUCGGCAUGGCAUAUGUGGUAGACCAAGCAUAAGUCAUGCACGCAAACCUGGAUCACGGCGGGCUUCUUCUUCUCUGCCUCCUUUAGUUUCUUCUCACUUCCCAGGACUGUGGUGUACUCAACAUCUAGCCCAGCAACCCACUCAUCAUUUGAGUUUUCGAACAUGCGUUUGAAGCAAGCAAGGCAUUCUUUCACCGUUGCGAAAGAACGGGUGUAGAUGACGUCGAACUCAUCGCCGGUGAUGGUUCUAACCUUGUACUCACCACCGAUCAUGGAGAUUUGGGACGCCAUGGAUUUGGGAGGAGGGUUAGGAUUAGGGAAACUGCCGUAAUGUGAAAGGACGGGACGACUAGGAGCGGUUUAUCAAUUGUAAAAAUGUCGAGUGGGGGGGCGCAUGCGAAUGGCAGGGUAGUGGCUUGCCUGGUGGAUAAAUGGAUUCAUGCACAGUACUAUGGGGGCCCAAUUAGAUGUCAUGUUUACUUGACGCCCAAUUAAAUGGCUUUCGAUUUCAUGUCAAGCGUUGGGAAAAUUACAGGUGAUACGAAGCUUUCCAUUCUCCCAUGAUACGGGCUUCCGAGAGCCCUUGGAUCUGAGAUCGAACGGUUGCAUGGCAUGAUUCUAGACCUAUGGGUGAAUAUCCUAUCCUGGAGGGUUAUUCUGCAAAUUUUCAGCAACUUAGCAUGCGACCGUUCGAUCUCAGAUCCAAGGGCUGCCAGCAGCCCGUAUCAUGGUCGCGCCUACCACGACCGUCGCCUCGCUCGCGCGGUCGCGCCCUUGGAGAUUUAACACGGUGUGUUAGGCUAUCUGAUGUUGGCAUAUCAUACAUAGUCAUCACUUUGUCACUCAUACAACAAGGUUAGCUAUAAGGUUGGCUAUAAGAGUAUUUUUUGUUUACUUCUCUCUAUCUCUUUCUUCGUAGUAUUUAUUAUAUUUUCCAAGGAGUGACCUCUUCCAAUGAAAUAGUGCUUAGAUGAGGUGCUAUGGGCAUUAAAUGGCUUAGCAACUCAAGUCCCCAAUGCAUAGGUGCUUAGUUUUUUGUUGCUAAGUUUGCUUCAUCUAGGUACACACGCUUAUCACCGUUUCUUCCCGGGGUCACCAAACUAGUCUAUCUCUUCUUAAUUAACUUGCCACAUCAGACUUUAUGCCUAUGUGGCAGGCUUAGCACAUGUAGGAUCAAGUACAAUAGUGGGCUAUAAGCCCGCUUUGCAUGGCAUUUUUGCAUAUGUGGGGGAAAGAGGCAAGGAAAAAGUGGAGGAGUGGGCUCUCAAGCAAGAGCCAACCUCUACAUGGUGGAGCAUCGGGAGAGGCACUUGUAUGGAGGUGGUCAGGAAUCGGGAGACUCACGCCGGUCGUAGCGCCGUAGUUAAAAUGAUAAUGGCAAGUCAAAUCACCAGACCCCACCUGUCCAGAAGUAACUCGCUGUCAAAUCACACAACCCUACGUUUGCAGUAGCCUACUCCCUCAUCUUCUCGCGUCUCUGUCGAACCGACUAGGCGGAACUGCCCCGCCUACCGCGCGGGAAAAGCCCCGCCCUCGACUUUUAAAUAGUACAGUAUACUAAUUUUGUAUCCAUGGAUUGCACCAUGGAGCAAAGCCUCAAGAAAAUGACGGCACACAUGUACGGAGUAUACAGCACGCCCGUCGCGUUCGCGUCGCACCCCAGACGGUCGGUCGGUCUGGCACGCCGCUCUCCGAAUGGAACGCGCGUCAUAUUGCGUUUGCACACACAUGUGGGACCGCAAUUGAGAACCGUCCAUAGGCACACUCCCCGGCCCCGCAAGUUGGGUGAGUUAAUAGAAGAGAGAGACGAGCGAUAGUACUACUAGAGAAGUGUUGUAGGAGUACAUACGUUGGUACCUGGACGAUCCCUGCAAGACACGGAAGAUCAGUUCGUCCAUGCAUGUGACCAGACUCCAGCAGACACGCUUGGAUUGGCUAUCGUCUACAUAUCGUGCAGGCUGUGUUGUACAGGGCUGUAGUUCUGGUGAGAAAUCUAAAAAAGGUUUCUUGUCAUCUCGCAAAAUUAGGUGUCAUGUGCUUCGGAUCACUGCGAGGGUUAAACAACGACAACUGAGUUGGGCAAGUAAUUGGGGGCACAUGCACGAAGACUACUUGGCUGCCAUCUAGGUCAAGCCGGCUAUGUUAAUUAGGACACCCAUCGACGGACCCCUUUUCUACGAGUUUAUCUUUAAUUUGAGCUUUGAUCCUCGUAUAGUUUGUCCGUCGGGAUUCAUCUUGUCUCCUUUGGGCAGUGAGGUUAUGAUUUCUUGACAUGUGGCAUUUUUUCGUGUUAUAUGUUAUAAUCCGGUGCUUCAUAUCAAAAUGAUGACAACUGUGCCUCCGGGGCACGUGCAUGAAGACUUCUCGACAGUCAUUGCCGAGGUCAAGCCGGCUCCGGCCGGUAGACAAAAGAAAACUAGUACUCCACUAUAUAGGCAGGAGCCUCCGCGCUUGCUUGCUAGUGUUGCUCUCUUCACACUGUCUCGUCCUCUCCAGAUCUAAACACGACAGCGGUGGCCACACUCUCUCUCUCUACUCACCGCUGGUCACAGAUCCAGCCGGAUCCUCUCUGCCGGGGAAGGUGAGAAGGUGCAACGUUCACGCGGUCGUCCUCGGCGACGGCUUUUACCCACUGCCGGCGCAUCCCGAUUAGCGUGCCUUGCCGUUCUCUCCCAAGCAUCGCUGGCGAGGGAGAGCCUCCCACCCCUUCUUCCUCGAUGCCGUAGUGUGGGCAGAUCCGGCCUCCCGCCGCCCACCUAGCGACAUCCCGACGACCCUCAGGUAUAACUUCCUUCGAAACAGGCCUUGCUCUACUUCCCGAGCUCCUGACGUCGCUGCAUUUGUAUCUUUUACUAUUUCUCAGGCCCCCUCGUGUAGAUAGGAUCGAUCGGCUGUUCGAAAACCACCUAUUUUUUUACUGUUAAGAGGUAAAACUAGUUCAUGCACUCGAAUCUAGUAGUACUUGUGAAAGGGCAUGUAGCCCCUAAGUGUGGUUUUGGUAAUUGAAUGACAAUCUCUAUGGACUAAUGUUUUCAGUGAGAUAUAUUUGAAGGUUUUGUCCAUAGAUGGUGCCUCAAGGAUAUUGGAUGGAAUCAAGGAUGAAGUCCAUAUAUAUGAAGAUAAUGCCUCAAGGAUAUUGGAUGGAAUCAAGGAUGAAGUCCAUAUAGAUGAAGUUAUAUUUGCUCUAAGCUUUGGUAUUAAAUGACAAUUCCUAUGGAGCAUCAAGUGCAUUGGAUCUUAUAUGAAGAUAUGUUCCAUAGUGAUGCUUGAAGUUCUUUGGGUUGUUUUGUGAAGAUUGCGAUCAAAGCAUUCGAAGAAGUCCUCAUGGUAUCCCUCUCUGGAUACCCCAUGCACACGGGCUUAUACCGUGCGCACGGGGUCGAGUGUCAACUCUCUGGAUACCCCGUGCUCACGGGGCCUAGGUGUUGGCUCUCGAGAUUCCAUAUCCAGCGAGGUUUCAAGUUGGUCUUCUGAGGAUCAAGGCUUGAGAGAAUAAUCAAAGAGAAGAAUUCGAGUUAUGGUUUCAAGACAAGAUCAUGGUGAGCUCAUGUGUUGGGCUUCGGUUGAUCAAGCCUUGAAGCAAGCAACUAGAGUGAAGAAUUCAUUAUGCCUCUCAAGACAAGAUCAUGUUGAUCAAGUCUUGAAGCAAGCAACUAGAGUGACGAAUUCAUUAUGCCUCUCAAGAGUUUGGGAUGGAGUUUUUAGAAGGGCAAGUGGUGACCAAGAUGAUAUUCAUAGUGGAACUUGAUAUGGUCAUGAAAGAGUCUUUGGUGAUAUUGUCUUGAAGCAAUGAAGUGAAAUGAAGAGUUCAUUGUGGCUUUCAAGAAACCAAGAUGGAGCUUGAAGUAAAGAUGUUGGUUGACCAAGAUGAAGCUCGAAGAGUAUAUCUAAGUGGUCAACUCACAAAGCACAAACAAUGUACCACGUGAGAUCAAGUGAUCUAGUGGUAUGGUAAGUAAUUGUGAAUUGUGCUUUGUUACCUAACCCAUGCUAUAUGUUUGUUAUGUCUAUGUGGGUUAGGUGUUUCUCAUAGGCUUGCAUCAAAAGGAAAGAUCUCGUGUAGCCUAUGUGUGGAUGACAUCAAGUGGUGAUGGUCAUCGGAUUCGAGGAGUCCAAGUGCAAGAUGAGAUGACAUCAAGUGGUGAUGGUCAUCGAGUUCGGGGAGUCCAGGUGCAAGAUGAGAAGCCAGAGGUUAUAUGCUUUGAAGCUUGCGGUCCACAUCAUGAUAAUGUGCAUGUGAAGAUGGGCUUGAGAUAAGGCUUCCCUCAUUGCAUCAUGAGGAAGCAAUUCGAGUAUCUUCACCAAGUGGUCGUGGACAAGAAAGGGAUUUCAACUUGAGGCAAGCAUUAAAGUCAUCAUCAAGCUUAAGUUGAAUGUGCAAGGCAAAGGUAUACCUUAGCUAGGUUUUCCUAGUUUUGCCGAUCUGAUAGUGCUUGGUGGGAGACCGGAUUAUAGGUUUGAUAGCCGUACUAUCAAGAGGGACUCUCGGGCAAGUAGCUUGAUCACGUCGCAUGUAGAGAGUUCAAACCUUUGCAUUACUUGCAUCAUUCUUUCUUGUUGAUCUUGGGUGGUUCUCUAUGUGAGGACCUUGGGCUUUUCCAUAGCUUCAAAACGAGCCCAAGAUCAUCGAAUUCGGAGUCCGUAUGCCCAAGUUAUCGAUGUUUUAGUGGGCUGCUGCUGGCUGUCCUGGGGACCCCGUGUGCACGGGGUCCUUGACCCCCGUGCGCACGGGGUGUCCAGAAUUCUGGGUACUCCGUGCACACAGGACCCCGUGCACACAGGGUCUCAACCCCCGUGCGCACGAGGUGCCCAGGAAAUGCCCGUUGGAGCCCCAACGGCUAGUUUCGGAGUUUGGCUAUUUAAGGGCCCUUUCCUCCCACCGGUUGGGGGUUGGUUCACACACAUUCUAAACACCAUUUUGAGCCUCUCUCCACCUCUCCCAAACCCCUAUCUCCCCUCUAUGUGAAGGGGGAUUUGUGGAUGGAUUAGUGAGCCAUUUGUUGAUCAUAUCCAAAGCAUCCCCUCUCUUCAAUCUCCUACUUUCAAGAGUGCAUCUUCUGAGAUUGAGAGAGUGAGUUGAGCAUUUGUUGCUUGACCUUGCAUUGCAUUUGUUGCAUUGGUUUGAGCUCCCUGCAUCGAUUUGUUCGAGUGUGAGCCCAUGAGUUUAUUACUCUUGGAGGCCUCCGCCUCCUAGACGGUUUGGUGAUACAUUGAGAAGAUUGUGAAAGAGGCCUAUGUGGCCAAGGUUCCCCCGGAAGCUUCCUCUUGUGGUGUGCUCCGGGGAAGGGUGUUGAAGUGGCCUAGGUGGUCAAGUUCCUCCGGAAGCUUCCUUGUUUGUGGUAUGCUCAGGAGAAGUUUGUAAAGGUGUGGUGGUCGCCUUCAAGACCAACCCCAAGUGAAUCGAGGCUCAUCCGUUGGGGGUGACUCGAAAAGGAGAAUACGGUGAGUCACUUGGUGAUGCCCCGGAGCUUUGGCUUCGGCACCGCUCUAACGGAGAUUAGCACUCUCACGAGUGUGAACUUGGGGAUAAAUCCGCGUCUCCGACUCACUUGUGGUUAUCUCUUACCCACACCCUUUACUUACCGCAAUUCAUACUUGCUCAUAUUGAUAUAUCUUGUGCUAGUUGAAUUGCUUAGUUGCUCCUACAUUUCCAUAUCUUGUGAUAUAGUUUGUGCUUGCUAGUUUCCUUAAGUGCCUAUCUUGUUUAGCAUAGGUUGUUGGUGCACUUAGUUGAGCCUAGCAUAUUUAGGAUUUGUGCUUGAAAGGUAUCCGUUUAGUUUAAUUCCGCAUUAGGAUAAAGCCAAAUCCGUAACAGUUUUAAAACGCCUAUUCACCCCCUCUAGUCGUCAUCUAGAUCCUUUCAACUUGGUUCAAACAAGUAAGAAAGGGGGUGGGGGAAGAUUUGUUACCUGAAUCUAGGACUUGGUCGAAAGAGGAAAUAAUGGGGGCGAAAAGUAGCAGAGACUGGCUAUCCAACUGGUCUCUAGGUCUAAUAGGGAAAUAAAGGGAACACAGUACAAACUCAAUAUAAACCCGGUCUAUUGGUUGAAAAAGGAAAGAAAGUGGGGACUGGGGGACAAGUCAACAGAGUAAGUCCAGCACUAGAUUUGCUAGCCUCACACAGUAUAAGGUGGCUAUAUACCGAACAAAAAUGGGACCAACCUAGAUAUCCUCUUCUGAUGUUUGUUGCCCCGAGCCACUCUUUUGUAAUGCCACUGGUAAAAUGUAGCAGUCGCACUGUUAAAAGUAAGGACACAUUAAACCAAUGUUGUUUUCAAUGUAAUGCCUCCAGUAAUAUGAAUCAAUGGCACUUUGUUUCAUGUCCUGCUAAAUUUCCCAUUAAGAUAAGUUGCUUCUUUUCCUUAGAGAUGCAACUGUCCUGGUCCGCCUACUCUCUAGGAGCUUCACAACCAACCUUGAUGUUGCUCAAUUUUAUUGCAACUAAUGAAGAAGAAGCUCUGUGGGUUUCAUUUUCUGAUGGAAAUGGAACCGGGGCUGGAGCCCUUUUCUUAAAAAAGAAGAAGAAGAAGCUGCUAGCUCAUGGGACAUUGCUUCAUUUUAGGUGAACUGCACCAAAAGGUCCCAUGAAUUGAAUCAUCCAUGUUGGUGACUGGUGUCAUCCCUUCUACGAUGACGUUGACUGCAGAUAUGGUUCCCAUCACGAGGUAUGUUCCUUUUUGGUCUGACCAUUUGCCAAAGAUCCUGCAUGUUGAUCCUGCUCUUGUGCUACUGUUUUGGCACUGCCAUGAUAAAGCAGUAAUGUUAUUAUUUUUCACCUUAAUCUAGUGGCACUAUUAAUUUGAGCACCGCUAGUGCCACUGUUUUUUAUAUAUAUCGAAAGAGGGGGUUCCCUCCGAUUUCAUUAAAGAAACCCAACCAUAGAGAACCAUUAUCCGACAACAUCUCAGUGUAAACGGGCAGUUAUGCAACUACUACUAGAACGGACUGAGUAGAGACAAGUUCGCCACAUAAGCUAGGCAGGUAGGGGGACGCAGCACCAGCUCGACCUAGUUUGGAUUACAACCCAAAUGCUACCACAGAAACAUCAGGGGGAAGAUAGGGACUGAAAGAGCCAGCUUCAGCAUCCCAGUCUAAGCACCCCCGGCCUUCAUCCUUGCAACGCAUGGUACACCUUGUUUGCCACCUGCUCGAACCUAGUGUCACUGAUAAAAUGAAGUAAUAAUACAGUUAAAAUAGAGCGAGUGUCCUCUCUAUCAUUUCAUUUCCAAUGUAGAUAAAGAAAGUGCUUCUCUUUGUUAAUGUAUGUUUCAUCAACUAGUCCCAUUGUUAAUGUUUAAGCGUUUCUACAAACUGGGGUGCUUAAUUUUAGUUGAUCUGCACAAAAAUAGAGAUUUGAAUGUCUCAAGGCCCCUCCUUGUACUACCGUUGUACAGUGAUGUUCAUCACUGGCAGAAGGUGUAUCGGGGAGACUUGGGUCGAUUUCCAGUAUGAUGUAAUAUUUUCUUCUAUUUAUUAGUGUAUGUUUCAUCAACUAGUGCCACUAUAAUGUAAUCACGCCUUUUCAUUUUCUGUGCAAACAGGGUUAUUCAGCUGCAUUUUGGUGGAACUGCACAAAUGUACGGAUGGAACCGACAUAUAUGCAGAGUGCGAGGUGCCAAGUAAAAAUUACCGACACCAACCCUGCUCCAUCUAAGCAUUGGCGUCCACCACCAUCAGUGGGAUGUGUGGCGCUCACUGUGGACGGAUCUUUCUCGGCAGCAAAUCCUCUAACCAAAUACUAGUAGCUUAGACUUUAAAAAAAAUACUAGUAGCUUAUAUUGGCAGUUUUCUAGGGGUGUACCCUUUUCUGAAAGAAGCACCAAUCUAUUUUUAUUUAUUUGUACACAGUGUCACAACUUUGACCCAAAGGUCCAGAGCUAUUUUAGGGUGAUUGGCGUAGUACUCAGAGACUGAUUGUAAGCAUGAUUUUUAUGAGUUGUCACACUGAUUGUAAGCAUGAGCAGAUGGAAGAUUAGGUUAGUGCGAAGCUUACCUUAAACCCUACCGACGCUGUUGAAACAAGGUGAGCGUCUAGGGAACCGUGGAGAACGACGGGGAAGCGACGUCACGCCAUCUGGCCUCCUCUUGCGGUGGGAGAACGAAUACUCCUGUGGCUCCGGCUGGCUCUGCACCCUCACGAACGGCACACCGUACUCGAUCGAUUCGUUAUCCUCUGGGUGCUCGACCUUUGACCUGUACGCCCACCACCUCCGCCUGACUUUUGCCUCGGGCGAAUCUGUCUGCUCCAUCGCCCAGAGGAGAUACUUGAUGAACUCGAAGGACUGCGGCGUGACUGCCGCCGAGGAGUACAUCACCGCCCUCAUCGCCGUCGUCUUGCUCUUUCGCAUACAUUGCCACAUGGCCCUCACCGUCCUCGAAAUCUCCCACUCAUUGUCAAACCAAGUAAGGAUCUCCUUCAACCUGGCUAACUUUGCCUGGUCAUCGCCGGCGAUCUACGUGAUUCGCUGCUGCAUCCUCUCCAUAGAUGUCCUUCUGAGUGGUCCGGUGCUAGCUUUGGAAGAUGGGAGGAGAGACGGUGGUCUUGCAAUAGAGAAGAGGGAGAGGCGAGACGGUGGUUUUGGAAUGGAGAUGAUGGAGAGGAGAGGGGGUGGUUUUGAAAUGGAGAAGAGGGAGAGGCAAGACGGUGGUUUUGGAAUGGAGAUGAUGGAGAGGAGAGGUUCCCCUGCCUUUCGGUCGCUGACAGGUGGGCCCCACGCUUGGUGGGACCCAUGUGUCAGUGUCUCAAUGGCAGGAUGGGCUACGUCAGGGGAUCCUCGUCUGAGGAGAGAGGAGGUGGUUUUGCAAUGGAGAAGAGGGAGAGGCGAGACGGUGGUUUUGGAAUGGAGAUGAUGGAGAGGAGAGGAGGUGGUUUUGCAAUGGAGAAGAGGGAGAGGAGCGUGCGACAGCGAUUUAGGAUUGGACGAGAGGGCCGGCGCGCUGUGACUGGAUCAAAAUCAAAAUCAAUUUACCCUUCAAUUAAGAAAGCGACCCCACAUUAACUAGUCUCCCUUUUAUUCUGGGUCAUAAUUAACCAUGAUUUCCGCAAAUAAAAUAUAUGUUAUACGUUGCAAAAAUAAUAUAAUUUGAAAGUACAUUCAGAUACGAACCAAACGAUACAAUUUUUGGUGACAUGCAUUCACAUUUUGCUUGUCAAAUACAGUACAUGGUCAAACUUUGACCCAAAAUACGCAAAACAAAAAAAUUACUUCCAAGACCAGCGCCGCUCUUCCGCUCUUCUCCUCUUAAACCACCGCCGCUCCUCUCCUGUUCCAAUCUAAAUCCAGCGCCGCUCCUCUCCUCUUCCAUUUCAAAACCACCGCCCCUCCUCUCCUGUUCCAAUCCAAAACCAGCGUCGCUCCUCUCCCGUUCUAAACCAAAACCAGCGCUGCUCCUCUCCUCUUCCAUUAAAAAUCCACCGCCGGCGAGUGAAGGUGUUGUGGAGAAGUAGAUCGACGGAGGAGUACAACCGAUACGUGAGGAUCGCAGACGGCGACCCUGUGAAGCUAGCUAGGAUGUUGGAGUACAGUCUUGGUUUGACAACAAGGACCAACUAGCGGCGACGGCGACAUCCAUGGCCAAAUAUCUGCAAUAGAGCGAAAAGGCGGUGAUACUCCCGGAGGGAGUCGCGCGGGAGUACAUAGAGCUGCUCCUCUGGGCCAUGGAGCAAACAGAUUCACCGAAUCCGAUCCUGAGGGAGCGGUGGUGGGAGUAUCGAUCCCAAAUGGAGCAUCCACCAGAGAUUGAAGUAUCGAGCAUCUGCAGGGUGCCGUUUGUGAGGGUGUCGUGCCAGAGCGAGCUGGUGGAGUCUUCGUCGACCGAACCCAACUACAAGAGGAGAAAAACAGUUUGCCCAACGACGCUUCCCUGCCAUCCUCUCCCUCGCCGUUCACAUCGUCUCACGGGGCGGCUGUCUGCCGCCUAGGAAUAGGAGGGAUUGCCCCCCAGACCAAUAGUCGGGCAGGUUGUGAAUUGUCAGGAGGAGCUUAGGGUUGUUAGUAUUUGCAGGUUGUGAAUUGUGUUUUGUGUUGUGUAUUUUGAGAGUACUUUCAGAUAUGAAUGUCUUUUGAAUUUUAGAUUUGCGGUGUUGAGCAUAUGAAGUAUUUUAUGAAUUCUAGAGAUCUAUUUUUAGCACUUAAAAAAAUGUAGUUUCAUAGGAGUAUAAAAGUGCAGACAAUGUGAUUCUCAGAGAAGAAACUGCAAGUUUCAGUUUCAGAUAAGAAACUCCAAGUUCAGUUUCAGAUAAGAAACUGCAACUUUCAGAGGCAGAGCAUUUAUAUUAACACGGCCUUUUCAAACAGUGUUAACAUCAUGCUGGAAGUUUUAUUCAUGGUCGAAACUGGAACUACCAGCCAGUUAACAUCAUGCUGAUCAACAUUCAUGCAUAGCACAUCUUCAUAUGAUGCACAGUCAAAAAUAUAUGCUAUUUUCAAGAUGCCCACACAAUGUCGAGUGUGCGAAAAACAGAGAAAACGAGGGACGCCGCUGUCUACCAUUGUGAACAUGCUGAACAAACGAGAGGAAUCUGGAGAGGACUGUACGUGGAGAGGCGGACAGUCGGAACCCAGCAGGUCUAUGGCCGUACGUUAGCAAGUGCCUCAUCGAAAAAAUACUUCCUCCUAAUGCUAUACUGACGUUGGGGCCCAUGGGUUUGUCAACAUAGUUACAUUUUUAGGUGCUUCAACGUAGUUACUAUAGGAGAUAAAUUCACAACGAAGCCGGGGAGCUGGCAGGUAUCAUUUAUUAUCACUGGGGCAGCAAGUAUCAGCUGGGUUUUGGGCUGCCCCGUAUAGGCUUUCUUUUUUAACAUGUGCAGCCCACGACCUCGGAUGGGAGGUCCAUAGGCCUGUUUGUAUUUUCUUGAGGGUCGUCAUGUAUCGACCGGCCUAUGGACCUCCCAUCCGAGGUUUUAUUUUUCCUGAAACAUCGGCAGCCCAAUUUAUGUAUUUUUUUGAAGAAAACGCAGAGGCCUGUUCAAUUUUUCUAUAUAAGAAUAGGAACGCCUGGUCCAACUUAUGUUUCCCUACUAACUAUAUUAUAUAUAUUUAAAUUAUUUUAUAUGUUAUUAUAUAUUAUUGUUAUUGUCAUCAUAUAUUUAACAGAUACUUACAUAUGUAAGAAAACAAUAUCCCACAUCUUAUUAACUUAUAAAAAUAAUUUCUUAACAAUAAAAUCCUGGAUUUUUUUGGCAACGAAAAUCCUGGUGAUUGUGUACAAAAGCUUGGUAAGAUUUAAGGACCAAUGUAAUAGUAAAUCACUUAUUUUAUAUAUAUAUAUAUAUAUAUAUAUAUAUAUAACAAAAUGCUCAGCCCCUGUUUAUUUUUUGUUAACAUUGCUGCGCCCACCCCAACAUUAUAACUAGAAUAAGCCCAGCAAAAUUGUGUACAAAUGGCCUGUAAUUUUUUAGGAAAAACAUAAAUGGGCCGCAGGAUGCUAUAUUAUUUGUUCACCCAGCCCAGCUAAUGGACUGUAGUUCAAAAAAAAAAGAGAUCAAAUGGACUGUAAAUUCUACCCAGCAAAAAAAGACUGUAAAUUCUGAAAAAAUGGGUUGAAUACGUGCCACAUUUUUGGAGGCUGAAAUGUGGGCCAAUAGGUCGAAGCUAAUGCAAGUCGUUGUCAACUUAGUCAACAAAUGAUUCUGACAUCGUUAGCCGUUGGAUUUACAUCCAACGACCGGCAUCCAUCUUCAAUCUCUCGUCUUCUUCCUCCAGCGCCACCGGGACCACCUGCUCCCGCCUCCUGCUGCUAGCAGCUCUGCUUAGCACGCUUCGCUGUGAAGCGCUACUCCACCGUUGGCCAGGCCAUCCCUCCACCCCUCCACACCUCCUGUUCUUCUCCACCGACUGCCGAACCACACCGCACCAGAACCAGUUAACCCUCGUACACCUCUCCGUCUGCGACUCUACUCCCGCGUCUUCCCAUCUCCGGCUCGUUGCUGUCCGGGGCCUCGCCGUCCUCCACCACCUUGGAUGCGCUCGGCGCGGCCUGGUCAACGUGGUCAACGAACGACACCAUCGGAAGUAGACUGUGCGUGGAGAGGCUGACAGCUGGGUCCACGGCCGCACGCAAGGAAAUGCCUCCUUAUUACGUGCAAAAUAAUGAUUCCUCCACCUGACAGCUGGGACCCACCGAAAGGGCCUCUGUAUUUCGCGAAAAACGUUCCCACCGCUGACAGGUCGGACCCACCAGCUAUAUCUUCGCACGCAAGGAAGUGCCUCCUUAUUACGCACAAAAAAAUGAAUACCCCCUGCUAGCUGGGACCCACAAUAGUGGGAGGCUGACUUGUGGGCCAAAUAAGUUGACGGGGACGGAGGGCUUUGUCAACUUAGUCAAUAUGCACGAUUCUAGCUCCAGUGACCAUACGAUGUCCAUCCAAUGGCCGUAGUGCUUCUUCAACCUCUGGUCUUCUUGCUCCAGCCGCCCAAACCAGCGCCGGUCGUGCCUCGUGCUCCUGCCUCCCGUGGCGGGCUGCGAUGCGACGGAGGCCUCACCGCCCCUACUACUCCCACCGCUGGCAAGGCCAUCCCUCUACUCACCCACAGCCCCUGUUAUUCUACGGCGACGGCAACCUCACACCGCAGUCAGUGAACCCUCAUACUCCUCUAAGCGUGGGCAUCCACUGCCGCGUCUUCCCCGGCUCUGCGUCGCCCCCUUCCUAGGCCUCGCCGUCGUCCACCGCCCUGGUGCUCUCGGCGCGGCGUGGUCAACGUGGUCAAGGAACAGCUUCCAUCGGACGUGGACUGUACGUGGAGAGGCUGACAGCUGGGUCCACGGCCGCAGCAAGGAAGUGCCUCCUUAUUACGCGCAAAAUAAUUAUUCCUCCACCUGACAGCGGGGACCCACCGGACGGGCCACCGUAUUUCGCGAAAAAAACGUUUCCCCCUGACUGCUGGGACCCACCAGCUACAUCUUCGCACGCAAGGAAGUGCGUCCGGGCAAAAAAAAACCAUUCGCCCCCCUGACUGCUGGGACCCGCCGGCUACAUCUUCGCACGCAAGGAAGUGUCUGACAGUUGGGACCCACCUGGUCGAAGCGUACGUAGCGUUGUCAUUCUGGUCGCGAACGUGUACGUACAUACUGGUCGACAUAGAGGCGCGCAGGUGUCGUAGUAGAGGCGCACAUGUAGCAUGUACACGUACGUACAGCGGCCAGGGUGCAAGAAAGUAAAUACGGCCACGUACGUACAUAUGGGCGGGGUCUCGAACGCCUACUCGCGCGUACGUACGACCAGGGCUCGUGUACAUGGCUGGGUCGGAACGAAGAAACAGCGUCGUCGUCGUGUUCAUGGGGAGGCAACGGAAUGCGUCGUGUUCAUCGGGAGGCAACGGAACGCAUGGGAGCCAACCGCCUUGGACGGAACAGCCGAUGGAAACGAGGCCUGGCGUACCACAGAACGAAGGAAACGGCCUUGUGUUUGACCGACCACGUUUGAAACGAGAUCCUAUUCAUCGAGAGGGGUCUGGCGUACCGCAAAAUGGAGGAAACGGACCUCCUACGGUCGAAACGGGGGUCCUAUUGAUCGGGAGGGGUGUGGCGUACCGCAAAACGGAGGAAACGAACUUGUGUUGGAGCGCUACGGUCGAAACGGGGGUCCUGUUCAUCGGGAGGGGUGUGGCGUACCGCAAAACGGGACUCCACGGGAUACUGUUCAUCUCCACCGUUGACCCCCUCUAGCCUCCACGGGCUACUGUUCAUCCACCGUCGACCUCCUCCAGCCUCCACCUGCGACCGUUCAUCCACGGGCUCCUGUUCAUCCAGCCUCCACCGCGCGCUACUCCACCGGCUACUCUUCAACCAGCCCUCUCCACGGGCUACUGUUCAACCAACCCUCCACGGGCUACUGUUCAUCUAGCCCUCCACUGUCUACUGUUUAUCCUGCCCUCCACGGGGUGGUCCUGUUCAUCCUGCCCUCCACGGGGUCCUGUUCAUCCAGCCCCAACCAGCUCGAACGAUCGGGGUCCUGUUCAUCCAGAGGCAACGCCACGGGGUCCUGUUCAUCCACCCCCACCGGGAACUGUUCAUCCAAACCCCCCCAGCAACGCUCACUGUUCAUCCAGAGGCAGCAUCGAUUGGCUUCAGUUAGCACCAGUAGCGAAGGAAUCGCUCGAUCGGGUUCAGUUAACAGCCAUCGAUCGAUCGCUCGGGUUCAGUAACGCGUAGCAUGCAGUGCAAUCGCUCGGGUUCAGUUAGAGCCCAACGCCUCGCUCAGGUUCAGUUAGAGCCCAAUGCCUGGCACCCACGUGCGUGUGUGUACGAGAGAAACGCGCAUCGCUCGGCCCCGACCACCCACCGUAACCAGGAACACCCCGAUAUUUUCCUCGCCCUCGCUUCUACCACGGUUUUUUCCGUCAUGGACGGCCCAAAGCAUGUCAUGCAGCUGCGUCUCCAGCCUGCCCAGGACGAAAAGCCCAUUUUCUGUCAUGAGUUUUUGUCAUAGAAGUAGGACCCCACCACAUCUAUGAUGAUACCGGAUUUUGUCACAAUUAUCGUCAUAGAAGUGUCAUAAGUAUGACAGAAAAAAGUUCGUUCGGCCCAAAAUGUCACGGAUGUGUCUUUUUUUGUAGUGUUGGCCUCGGCCCCGAUGACCACUUAGGUCUGGACGACGUCGACGGCUCCAGUUCGUACUACUCCAGCGCAGACGACGAGGAUUUGGAGGAGGAGGCCGCGAUGUCCAUGGAGGACAGGGUGAAGCUGGCAGAGAUAUGGGUGGCCAACCCUAGUAGUAGCCAUCAGUGGACCAGUGGAGCUGCUGGCGGCGUGCUGUAAGUCGUUCUCUUCUCUGCUUCUUUCUGUAUAUUCCAAAACAGGGGGCUAGGGUUAGUGUUGCUCAUGACAUGUCUAAAUUUGUGCUGUCAAUUGUAGUUUGGAUGAUGCUGUUUGGGAUGUUCGGAUUCAUUUCGAUGCACAACACAAUCUGGAUAGUAAGAUAUGCAGCUCAGAUGUGAGAUUUCCGAACUUAUAUGCACUGAUGCACACACAAGGUUAUUCCUUCUCUGAUGAACUGUACCACAUGAAGAAUUUAGGCAGAGGAGAGGAAAGAGAGCAUGGGUUAGAGUUAAUUAACACAAACAUCAAACUGCAGCAACUUAAGAAGGAAUAUGAGCAUAGUUUAGUUCUGAAUUUGCUAGUGAGGGCAACAUCACCUUUUGUAUGUAAGAUAGAAGAAGAUUUAGUGAGAUCAAACUACAACAAUGUCUGUCAGAGGAGAGAAGAAAAUUUAGCAACUAUAUUGUAUGAACCACCUUUAGUGUAUGAUCUCAGUGAGCCUGCAGUUCUUGCUGUAGAUAAAAAGGUGUUGUUUUUCAUAGUCAGUGCACACAAGAGAGCAGAAAUUUCAGUAAGGGGAAGCUCAAAGCUGUAAUGGAGGAAGAGGCACUGCUAGAGGAGGGACAUAAUAACAGUGAUGACUCUAAGGCUGCUGCAUAUGACAGUGAUAACAAUCCUUUCUGCAUGGAGAAGUACAGGAUAAUUGAAUACACAGAGAUAAUUGAGGGGAAUAAACUAGCAGAGCAAGAAGUUGAAGAUGAAGAUUCAGAUGAGGAUUCAGAAGAGGAACAAUUACAUUAUGAGGGUGACACUGAGGUUGAGGACUUGUUUGAGAUGGAGGAGGAGGAGGAAGAGCAGGAGAAGGUGGAUGAGGUCAAUGUUGUUGCAACAGAAGAAGCACCAAUGCAAAAACCUGCAAAAAGAGGAAGAAGCUGGUAGUUAGGAGAGGCCCUACUACUAGGACACAUUCAAGUGUGUUGGAGGAGGUGCAACCUGAUUUCAUUCCUUCAUCAGAUGAAGAAGAUGAUGGGUUGCUGUUUGAGGAUGAAGAUGAUGGACAUGAGCCAUUGUCAUUUGUUCUACCUAAAGGGAGGAAGAGUAGGGCCAAGAAAAGGAAACCAAGGAUCUGGUACAAUGACAAACUUGAGCAACCACAUCAGCAGUUAUGUCUGUACAUGUGCUUCAAGAAUCAUCAGCAAUUCAGAGAUGCUUUGUUGAUCUUGCACAUCACACAUGCCAGAGAUUUCAGGUAUCAUAGAAAUUCAGACCAAAGGAUCAUUGCCUGUUGUAAGCAAGAGCACUGCCAGUUUUGCAUAGUUGCUGCAGUUAUCAAAGGGGAGAAGACUUUUGCUAUUAAGAAGAUAAGGCUGGAGCACACUUGCCCUAGCAGCACUGAGACAUCUAGGAUUAGUGCCAAGUGGCUUGCAAAGACCUAUGAGUCAUUGUUCAGGUCUGAUCCAACCACCAACAUACACACUCUGAUUGACAACUGCAAUGAGAAGUAUGGUGUUGAUGUGCCAAGGCACAUGGCCUAUAGGGCCAAAAACCUUGCUGUGGAAGCUGUGCUAGGAGAGCACAAGAAGCAGUAUCCCAGGCUUAGGGAUUAUGCUUAGACCAUCAUGGAUUCAAACCCUGGUAGUAGAGUUGUAGUUGCAACAGUUACUCCAAGACCAACUACAAAAAUACCACAUCCAGGACCAAAGUUUCAUGCUAUGUUCUUCUGCAUAAAUGGAGCAAGGGAGGGAUUUCUCAAUGGAUGCAGACCAUUCAUUGGUUAGUAAUGCUUUAUAGUUCUUUCUCAAUGGAUGUAGUGGUGCUUUAUAGUUCUUUAUACUUAAAUAUAUAAUUUAUUAAUGCUUUGUAGAAGUUUAAAUUAUUCUUUGGUUGCAACAACAGGUGUUGAUGGAUGCUUUAUUAAGCUCACCACUGGUGCUCAAAUCCUAGCUGCCACUAGAAGAGAUGGGAAUAAUAAUAUUUUCCCACUUGCAUUUGCUGUUGUUGGACAAGAGGACACAGCUAACUGGUGUUGGUUUCUACACCAACUGAAGAUAUGUCUAGGAGGAGAAGUUGGCAAAUUUGGGCCUUAUACUAUCAUGUCUGAUAAACAGAAGGUAUGCAUGCAUCUUUCUGUAUGUUCUUGCCUUUAUGUUCUUCUGCAUUAGCAUGUUAUGUUUUAGAUGUGGUAGUACAACAGCUAAGUCUAGCAUGCUAUGUGAACAGGGGCUACUAAAUGCAGUAAACCAAGUUUUUCCAAACUGUCAUCAAAGAUUUUGCCUUAGACACCUCUAUGCAAAUUUCCAGAAUGCUGGGUUUAGGGGGGAAGAUCUUAAGAAAUGCAUGGAUAAUGCCAGCUAUGCUUAUAACCAGCACAAGUUUAACAUUGCCAUGAAUGACUUGAAAAUGAGAGUGAGGAAGCUUGGAAGUGGCUAAGUGGAAUACCUAAGCACACAUGGGCUAGGCAUGCUUUUGACACUAACUGCAAGACAGACUUGGUUGUUAACAACCUGUCUGAGGUGUUCAACAAGUACAUCCUAGAUUUUAGGAAAAAACCUAUUAGGACCAUGAUUGAUGGUAUUAAGGACAAGCAGAUGGUGAGGUGGCAUAGAAACAGAGAGAGAGGAAAGGCAUCUCUGUGGGAGAUCACACCACAUUAUGCUGAGAAGCUUGAGGACAAGGAAAGGGCCAGAUUCUGCAAACCUAUUCAAGCUGGUGUAAAUCUUUGGCAAGUGACCAGUGGGCAGCAAACACAUGCUGUAAACUUGCAAGUUUAGACAUGUGGCUGCAGAAAGUGGGACCUGUCUGGCAUACCAUGCAACCAUGCAAUAUCAGCAAUUAACAAGGCAAAAAGAUUUCCAGAGGACCAUGUCUGCAAUUUCUUCAAAAAACAUUUUUACCUUGCUGCAUAUGAACCAAUGAUAUAUCCAGUUCCUGGUGAACAUGAUUAGACAAGGACAAGUGGACCAAACAUAGAGCCACCCAAAUUUCAUGUGAAGAAGGGGAGAAGGAAAGAGAAGAUAAUAAAGGGCAGAUUUGAGGUUACAAAACCAAAGGACAGUUCAAGAAUGGCCACUAUAACAUGCAGCAACUGUGGGCUCCAAGGCCAUAGGUACACCAACUGCAAGCAACAGUUGAGACCAGAGUUGGCUAUGAGGAAAAACAAGCAUGUGGUAAACCCUUGUGAAUUGUACUUGCUAAUUGUUCUUCUUUCCUUCUAUGUUUUUUGUGCUAAACCUUUGUGACUAACUAGCAUGUUUCCUUGUAUGUUUGCAAGGCACCUGCAAGAUCAAGGAAUGAAGAUACUCCAUCAGGAUCACAUCAGCCACCAGCAAGGUUUGCUUCUGCAAGAUCUGCUAGUGCAAGAUCUGCUACUGCUAGAUCUGCUACUGCAAUAUCUACUUCAAGAUCUGCUAGAGGGUCAGCUAGUGCAAGUGCAAGAUUUGCAAGGCCUUUCACUGCCCCAAGAUUUGCUGCAGGAGCUUCAUCUUCUGGUCCUUCUACUUCUGGUGCUCCUUCAAGUGUCCCAGGGAAUUAUACUCGCUUGAUGUCAUUCUUUACUGCCAGUGGUAACACUUGAGUGAGAGAAUGUUGCUACUUUUGGUCUGAUGGAGUACCAGAAGAUGUGAACUAAGUUAGUUGUGCUACAAAACUGAUGUAUGUUCUAAUGGAGUACUAAGUUGAGUCUGAUGUGAACUAAGUUAUUUGUGCUACAAACCAUGUAUUUUCUAGUCAUUUGUGGACAUAUCAUGCUCCUGUCAACAUAUUAUGCCUGCAAUAUGUGCAAUAUUUGGUCAUUCGGCACUUGUGAACAACUCAAUGCUUUUUGUGUUGUUCAUUUGGCAUUUGUGAAACAACUCAAUGCUCAUUUGGCACUUGUGAACAACUCAAUGCUCCUGUCAAUAUUAUGUCAAGAAAACAUGCUCAUGUGUCAAGAUAUUUGUUCAUUUGGCUUUUGUGAAACAACUCAAUGCACAUGUGUCAAGAAACCAUGCACAAACUGGAUGAUAAUGCCACAAUGGCCACAUACUUCAUUACUAGGAUGAACAUACCAAAUCUUUUUUACAAAUACACCUGACACAUUACUAGGAUCAACAACAGUAGGAUCAACCCUGACACUAACUUGCAACACCUGACACUAACUUGCAAAGAUCAACCUGACCAAAACUGACAUUAACUUGCAUCUCUCCUUAACAAGGAUCAACCUGACCACAACUUGCAUCUUCUGUGCCAAAACAAGCUUGAGUCUAAACCACUGACCAGUACUAAACAAGCUUACUGCAGCAGCAUCUUGGCUGUCACUAAACCUACCACAAAGACAAGAAAAAGAAAGACAACAUUUUGAUAUUUCUCCUUCAGUGCAUCUAUCUCUCCAUUUUUCUCCUUGAGCUGAUCUUCCAAAGCCACCACCUCUCUUCCUCUUUGAGCUUCAGGCAGAGCCACAACUGCACUGUCAUCUUCAAACACACCAACACUUGAUUCAGCUCUCAGCCUACGCACUUCAUCUCGCAAAUCUCCAAUCAAAUCACUCAAAAACUUCGGCAGAGGAUCAUCAUGCCAUUCAAGGAAGCCACAACCACCAUGUUGUACCAACAGAAAUCAGGGUUUGAGAGGGGAGAAGAUCUAAUGAACAGAAAAGUAGAACAAAAAUGAAACUUACCAUGGCAUCCACGCAGGCGUAGUACCUCCUGCCUGGGUUCUGACGGCUCCAUGAGAUCCAUCUCGGCGCCUUCCUACACGGCCUGCACCAGCAGAGCUUCUCUGGCUCAUACGCCAUCGGGCUCUCACGGUAGGGCACCGGCGACCUCGAUUCGUCCCCUCUCCUUCUAGAGGCUCGACGGAAGCUGGGAGCCUGAGAACGACCCGAAGACCACGACAUUGACAUUUACUUAGACGCAGCCGCCGCCGCCGCCUGCGAGAUUGCCUCCGCCGCCGGCCCGCUCAGGAAUUGCCUCCGCCGUCGCCUAACCCUAGUUUUUCCCCCAAAUGCACAAACUGUUUCCUGUUCGCCCCCGCGCAUUGCUUUAAUAACUAGGGCCACCACUCAGAGCAGUCCCUGUUGACAGUGGCCACGUCAGCAUUUUUUUGCUCUAAUGUUUGAUUUGGCCAGGGAUUCGUUAGUUUACAGGUAUAACUUGAGCCAUCUAACUUGAGCAUUAGCUAAAUAUUUCAUCAGAGGUUCAAGAGGAGAUAUAACUUGAGCAUUAGCUAAAUAACAUAGCAUACUGGAGUUCAACAUAACCAUAGAUUCUUACAGCCAUAAUUACUAGAUUCUUACAACAUUAGCUAAAGACCAUAGCAUAGUGGAGUUCAACAUUGUUCACAACUACUACAUCCAUACAUUACACUUAACUAAACCACCCUUCACAAAAGAUUAGCAAAGCCUUCUAUCAAAGCAACUUAUAUCAUGAUAGGUAUAUGCUCUGCUUCAUCUACCCAGAUCAUCUUCAUCUACCUCAUUCCUUCAAGAUGUCAUGGAUCAACUUCAACUUCUCUUUGCUCUUCUCCAGUGACUUGAACUGCACAACAAGCUGGAGCUUUAACUCAUCCCUGCGUUUUAUCAGAUUCUCAUGUCCCCUCUUGAACUGCACAUUCUCUUCUGUUAGUUCUUUCACAGACUGGGUGAGCUCAUCAACCUGAAUCUUUAAAUUGUUGUUGCCUUCCGCUAGCUUUUCCUUCUCUUUCAAAUGAUUCAUCUUCAGGUUCCUAAUGACACUGCCUUGAGCUUCUACCAGGUUCAUCAGCACUUUGUACUUCUCUUGCAUCUUGAAGUUCUCUGCCUCUUUCUUCUCCAUCUCAUUCUUCAUGGCAGCCACAACUGAUGCAGUGGCAACCUCAGCUCUCUUCUCCUUAGCCUGCACAUAGCUUAAAUCCAACACCCUGUCCUCCUGGGCAUUGAGAAGUUGAUGGACAUCUUCAACUAGUUUGUCAUAGUUGGCAUCCAAAUUCCUUUUCUCUUCUUUAAGGUGGUGGAUAGUAAGUGAACUUUCCAGGUUAUCCUUCCUCCUAGCAGUCCUGCUGUCUUCAAACAUUUCCCAAAGCUUCAACAAUGCAUUUUGCAUUGUGGGAGGCCACUCUGGGUCAACCCAAGCAAGGAAACCGCAAUUGACAGCUUCCUGCAAUAUAGCAAACACUUAUAUUGUUACUCUCUGAAGAAUUACCAUUAUGAAAGGGCACUUUUAAAAAAUCAACUAACAACAUAAGAACUACAACCUAUACAUGUGGCCAACUAAACAAUGCUACUUCAACUGCAACCUAUACUGCCUCAAUUAAAAAUUAGCAUCUACACUGCCUCAAUCAACUAACAGCACAUGCCUACACAACAUGUUGCAGUGAGCUUCAGUACUAAUAAAUAACUAAACUAUGAGCUUCUCCACUGCCAACUAAGCUGCUGCCCAUAUAUAUAUUACAGUGAACAUAAGCAUCAAAACCAUAAUCAUCAGAACUACUAAUAAAUAACUAAACCAUAAAUAUAUUACAGUGAACAUAGCCAACUAAGCUAUUGCAGUGAGCAUGAGUACUAUAAGCAUCAAAACUACUAAAUGGUAAACAAUGUGCUUCAUCAUCAGUAGUAGUAACUAUAUUACAGUGAACAUGAGAGAGCAUCAAUCUUACAGGCUGAGCACAAACUAGAAACCUCCUGCCCAUCUCAAAUGAUUCAAAAGCUACACGACGCUCAGUUAGCAGCCAAUGCUCCACGCAGAGCCCCUCUGGUGCCUUCUCCAAGCCAUUGUAGUCUUGGUCUUCAAUGCUAGCAGGAAUCUACAGGGAGCAAAUCCUCAAAUCAGAAAACCAGAUCAUCAAAUCCCCAAAUCCCCAAAUCACCUAACCCUAACCCUAGCUCUACCACUGACCUAAUAAUGCAUCCCGUCGCCGGAGGAGGAGAUCUGCAGGCCGGACAAGUCAUCGCUGCUCUCAUCCUCGAAGACCAUGGUGCGGCGGCGGUGGCGGACGUGGCGGUCUGCGCGGCGGCGACGGCGGCUGGAGAGACAAGGGCGAUGGGGCGAGGAGAGGGACAGAGUGCGGCUGGCUCCGGUUGGGUUCGACCGGACCCGGCUACAUGGAACGACCGAGACGGGUGCAAGAGUUACCGAGCGGGUGCGCGCGGGUAAGCCACCGUGGCACCUGACACGUGGGCCCGGUAGGCCAGAUACGUGGUCAAUACGCGCUUAUACGGCCGUCAGACCGUUUUGCAACACUUUGGCUUAGAGUUGGUGCUGCAUGGCAAAAAAGUGACUAGUGGUACUGAUUCGUCACAGCGUGCCAAAGUGUGGUAGUUCCUUGCAAUUAACUCAAGUUAUAUGGAUCGGAGGGAGUAAGAUUUUGCACCAAUUCACCCCCUGAGGCCCUAAUGAAUGAGCAGAAGCAGAGGACCUGCUACAUUCCUAAAACAAGAUAUGUGUUUUUUUCUUGAUCAGGAUAUUCUAGGUCGAAUUGGAGGGCAUAUUCCUUCUUUCACUACUAUUGGUUAGCAGUACUGUACUUAUUUGUGAACACAAAAGCCAACCUCUAACCUGAUGCCGAUGUUGCUGGAAAGCAAAAAAGAGGACUUGUCUGAAGGCGGAGAAGUCCUGCCAUGGCAAUGAAACCAAAAAAGAGAACUUGUCUUUUUUUGCGAAAAAGAGGACUUGUCUUGGUGAAGGUCGUAUCUUGGACUUGGAAUAGCUUUACAAAUGCCGGUCAUUCACAUGUAAGACUUGCCAGUCAUCUUCCCCGGAAAAAAGGGGAGAGAGAGAGACUUGUCUGUCAUCUUUCAGCUAGUAUAUACUUUGCUCAUUGCUUCAGAAUUGUAGCUAGUGCUUAAAAUAAAAUCCAUAGCUACGCGCAAUGUGUGAGUAGAGACUGAUCUCAGCACAGGAAACAACGGAGGCAUGGGGCUUGACCGGGGCCAAGGAAGAAGACGGCUUAGAUUAUUCCUCUCGCCGGCUUGCCAUCGUGUCAUCACUCGAUCAUCGUGCCACCCCUGCAUCAGCUAGGUUGCUCGUGCAGGACGCCCCUUAGGUGUUCGCUGAAAUGCCGGCUACGAGUUGCUUGUGCAGGGCAUCCCCGCCACCAUGCGACAGCACCCCUUCACCCGCGAGGGUGUUCAGGAGGUCGUCGAUUACGCAGGUGGGAGACAGGAGAGCGAGCGGGCGAUGGCCGGAGUUAUGCGCGUAGAUUAGGGCCCAGUUCUUUUGCCAGAAUCCGGGGAUUCUCCCAAAAUCCGACCCCUACCCAGCUUCUCCCAGAAUCUUUGAGCCCCGUUUGUUUUACAAUCCCAUCUAAUUAGACCCUAACUAGAUAGGAUUGUGAAACAAAUGGGGCUCAAAGAUUCUGGGAGAAGCUUGGUAGGGGUCGGAUUCUGGGAGAAUCCCCAGAUUCCGACAAAAGAACUUGGCCUAGGUUCCGGAGGAGAAAGAGAGGAAAAAACAAGUGAAUAGGUGGAUGGAGUCGCGGAGAUGACAGAUGACUCUUCUACCAGAAUUUUUUUGUUUAUUGUUUUCUUCGACGAACAACCCACUCUUCUACCAGAUUCUUUUUCCUUUUUUUGUCUUCGACGAACAACCCAUAGCUUCUUAGGGCAUCCGUGUACAUCUGUACGCGCGGUUCGGACGUGUUGUGCCAUCUAACACGGGCAGUGGCGAACCCACCAUUGGGACGAGCUGGGCCCGGGUCGCCAGCGGCGGAGGAUCAACCCCCACUUACAUAUCUUUCCUCCCCGUUUCCUCGUGUAGGCGUCAGAAAGCCUGCGGCGGCGGCGCUGUUCUCUAUUUGUGCGUCGAGGGGUACGUGAGGGCUUUGAGGGAGAAAGAUAUUUGAGCUAGUGGACUGGGCUACAUUUAUUAGUUAUUAUAGCCUACAGGCCCAAAUGCCCAAUCGAUAGGUCUCUCCUCUCAAAAAAAUCCCUUGUCGAUCGAGAAAUCGCGUCCAACUGUUCCCCUUCCGACCUAGCCACUGCCCACUACCGCGGUGUUGCGCCGCCGCCAGAAGCCUCACGCACCCACGCCCACUGCCGGUGAUGGAUUCCGUUGAAGAGGCAGAUUGGAUAGAUGUUGCUGAAGAAGAAGUUAAGGCUGAGGCAUCACUGGUUGUGGCAAGGCCAGUAACUUCGGCCCCCAGUCCGGCAUCGGCAACAGAUGGUGCAGGCAACAGAUGAUUGGCUUAAUGAUUUGAUGGGUUGCUAUGUUGAGCGUAAGAUAUUUGCUAAAAUUAGUGAUAAACAUAUUAUUGUUCUUUUUCAUGCCUUGAAGAGCCAUUGAGGCCAUCUACCUCCACAAUCCCGUGUUCUUUGUGCAAGUACAUCUUAAAGGUAUGCUAUCAUCAUAUGAUCAAAUCAAAAUAUACAACUGCUAUGACACUCCUGCUAAUCCAUUCAUAAUUUUGUAGGUCUCGUUUGGAAUUAUGGGAUCAAUAUUGUGGCAUAAGUAAGGAUUUCAAGCGACAAGAGUAUAUGUUAGUUUAGUGAUUUAAACACUCUUAUAUUACUUACGGAGGGAGUAGUUUUUAAGACCCAUUUUAUUCUUUUGUUGUCGAAUGCUAUGAGUUUUGGUUGAAUAUAGUUGCAUUUGCACCGACAAAAUUUAGACCUUAAAUGUCCGCCCCGGCUAACUUUAAUUCCUGGGUCCGCCACUGAACACUGGCCUCUAUCGGUCUGGGCGCACUUUCUCCCAUAAAGUGGAAGCAAAGUUGGGGCGGAGAGCUUUGCCGGAGUCCGGAGAGCAGCCACGUAGCACUCCAACACCCCUGGCCCCACUAAAUCCCCCUUCCUGUCCCAUUUCUUUUCAAUCAGCCCCUUCUCUCCCUUGCUUUUGCAUCCAUGGGUUGGGGAGGGGGGGGGGUUCUCGUUGGUACCUCAAUGGGUUGGGCGACGGUGGGCGCGGUUCUAAGACUUUUGUUGUGGCACUAGGUCGGGCAUCAAAGCAGGGUUUGGGUUGGGAGUUUGACGAAGAGGGUGAAGAAGAGGUCGACGGCUAGAUCGUAGAGGCGACAUAACGACGUGCGAUGGUCUGCUGAGGAAUGGUGAGCAACCGACAACUAGGUGGGAGAGGCUGGGGGAGGGGAGGUGGCAUGGGAAGCUCGAGCAGGUAGUUAUUGGUGAUAGUGUGAACUGGCCAUGAAGAUCGACCUCGAGGGUGACCCCGUUAACUUCACUGGUACUGUCUAGCGGUUAGUGGGCAGUGGCUUUUGUGGUAGCCCAUCUUCUCAGCCGUCGGGGGAGGCGAUUCUCGUUGGUACCUCAAUGGGGUUGGGUGGCGGUGGAUGCGGUUCCAUCUAGACCUUUGUUGUGGCACUAGGUUGGGCAUCAACGCAGGGUUCGGGUUGGGAGCUUGACGAAGAUGGUGUAGGAGAGGCUCAUACGUCUCCAACGUAUCUAUAAUUUUUUAUUAUUCCAUUCUAUUAUAUUAUCAAUUUUGGAUGUUCUAUAUACAUUUGCAAGCAACUUUAUAUCAUUUUUUUGGGACUAACCUAUUAACUUAGUGCCCAGUGCUAGUUGUUGUUUUUGCUUGUUUUUGACUUUGCAGAAUAUCAGUACCAAACGAAGUCCAAAUGUCACAAAACUUUUUGUAGAUUUUUUUCUGGCAAUAAGAGACCCUGGGAGCUUUGGGAGGGAACGAGAAGACAAAGGAGUGGCCCACUAGGCACCAGGGCGCACACCAGGGGCCUAGGGUGCGCCCUGUUACCUAGUGGGGCCCACAAGCCUCCAUUUAACCUAACUCCGCCUCUAUAAAUUCCCAAUAAUCAGAAAACCUACCAGGGAGUCCACGAAAUACUUUUUCCGCUUGCGCAAGCCUCUGUUCUCGAGAAAUCCCAUCUGGGGACCCUUUCCGACUCUCUGCCGGAGGGGGAAGCAAUCACGGAGGGGUUCUUCAUCAUCCUUGCUGUCCCUCCGAUGAUGUGUGUGAAUGAAAUAUGCCCUAGAGGCAAUAACAAAGUUGUUAUUUAUAUUUCCUUAUAUCAUGAUAAAUGUUUAUUGUUCAUGCUAGAAUUGUAUUAACCGGAAACUUGAUACAUGUGUGGAUACAUAGACAAAACACAGUGUCCCUAGUAAGCCUCUACUAGACUAGCUCGUUAAUCAAAGAUGUUAAGUUUCCUAACCAUAGACAUGUGUUGUCAUUUGAUGAACGGGAUCACAUCAUUAGGAGAAUUAUGUGAUGGACAAUACCCAUCCAUUAGCUUAGCAUAAUGAUAGUUAAGUUUUAUUGCUAUUGCUUUCUUAUGACUUAUAGAUAUUCCUUUGACUAUGAGAUUAUGCAACUCCCGGAUACCGGAAGAAUACCUUGUGUGCUAUCAAACAUCACAACGUAACUGGGUGAUUAUAAAGAUGCUCUACAGGUAUCUCCAAAGGUGUUUGUUGGGUUGGCAUAGAUCGAGAUUAGGAUUUGUCACUCCGAGUAUCGGAGAGGUAUCUCUGGGCCCUCUCGAUAAUGCACAUCAUGAUAUGCCUUGCAAGAAAUGUGACUAAUGAGUUAGUUACGGGAUGAUGCAUUACGGAACGAGUAAAGAUACUUGCCGGUAACGAGAUUGAACUAGGUAUGAAGAUACUGACGAUCGAAUCUCGGGCAAGUAACAUACCGAUGACAAAGGGAAUUACAUAUGUUGUCAUUACGGUAUGACCGAUAAAGAUCUUCGUAGAAUAUGUAAGAAGCAAUAGGAGAAUCUAGGUUCAGCUGUUGGUUAUUGACCGGAGAGGUGUCUCGGUCAUGUCUACAUAGUUCUUGAACCCAUAGGGUCCGCACGCUUAACAUUCGAUGACGAUUUUGUAUUAUAUGAGUUAUGUGAUUUGGUGACCGAAUGUUGUUCGGAGUCCCAAAUGAGAUCACGGACAUGGCGAGUAGUCUCGAAAUGGUCGAGAGGUAAAUAUUCAUAUAUAAGACGAUAGUAUUUGGACACCGGAAGUGUUCUGGGGGUACCGGGUACGUAUCGGGUCACCGGAAGGGGUUCCGGGCUACCCCCGACAAACUAUAUGGGCCUAUUGGGCCAAGAGGGGAAACACACCAGCCACAAAGGGGUUGGUGCGCCCCCCAUAUGGGCUGGCCAAAAUGGAGAAGGAAAGGGGAAGGAGGAAAGGAAAAAGGGAAUAGGAUUCCCCCUUCCCCCUCUUCCCUUCCUACUCUGAAUAGGAAUAGGAAAGGGGGGGGGCGAAUUGGGAGGUGCCCAAGUAGGAUUCCUCCGACUUGGUGCGCCCCCUUGGCUGCCUCUCCGCCCCUCCAACCUAUAUAUAUGAGGGGGGCACCUCUAGAACACACAACAAACAUUGUUAGUCGUGUGCGGCGCCCCCCUCCACAGUUUACGCCUCCGGUCAUAUUCACGUAGUUCUUAGGCGAAGCCCUGCGCGGAUCACUUCACCGUCACCGUCACCACGCCGUCGUGCUGAUGAAACUCUCCCUCAACACUUUGCUGAAUCAAGAGUUUGAGGGACGUCAUCGAACUGAACAUGUGCAGAACUCGGAGGUGUCGUACGUUCGGUGCUUGAUCGGUCGGAACGAGAAGAAGUUCGACUACAUCAACCGUGUUGUCAAACGCUUCCGCUUUUGGUCUACGAGGGUACGUGGACACACUCCCCCUCUUGUUGCUAUGCAUCUCCUAGAUGGAUCUUGCGUGAGUGUAGGAAAUUUUUAAAAUUGCAUGCUAUGUUUCCCAACAGUGGCAUCCGAGCCAGGUCUAUGCGUAGAUGAUAUGCACGAGUAGAACACAAAGAGUUGUGGGCGAUGAUAGUCAUACUGCUUACCACCAAUGUCUUAUUUUGAUUCAGCGGUAUUGUUGGAUGAAGCGGCCCAGACCAACCUUACAUGACCACGUUCAUGAGACCGGUUCCACCGACAAACAUGCAACUUGUUUUGCAUAAAGGUGGCUGGCGGGUGUCUGUUUCUCCAACUUUAGUUGAAUCGAAUUUGACUACGGCCGGUCCUUGUUGAAGGUUAAAAUAGCAAACUUAACGAAACAUCGUUGUGGUUUUGAUGCGCAGGUAAGAACGGUUCUUACUAGAAGCCCGUAGCAGCCACGUAAAACUUGCAACAACAAAGUAGAGGACGUCUAACUUGUUUUUGCAGGGCAUGUUGUGAUGUGAUAUGGUCAAGACAUGAUGUCAUAUACAUUAUUGUAUGAGAUGAUCAUGUUUUGUAGAAGUUACCGGCAACUGGCAGGAGCCUUAUGGUUGUCACUUUAUUGUAUGAAAUGCAAUCGCCAUGUAAUUGCUUUAGUUUAUCACUAUGUGUUAGCGAUAGUUGUAGAAGCAAUGGUUGGCGAGAUGACAACAACGCUACGAUGGAGAUCAAGGUGUCAAGCCGGUGAUGAUGGAAAUCAUGACGGUGCUUUGGAGAUGGAGAUCAAAGGCACAAGAUGAUGAUGGCCAUAUCAUGUCACAUAUUUUGAUUGCAUAUGAUGUUUAUCUUUUAUGCUUCUUAUUUUUCUUAGUACGGCGGUAGCAUUAUAAGAUAAUUCCUUAACUAAAUUUGAAGGUAUAAGUGUUAUCCCUGAGUAUGCACCGUUGUGAAAGUUCUUCAUGCUGAGACACCACGUGAUGAUCGGGUUUGAUAGGCUCUACGUUCACAUACAACGGGUGCAAGACAGUUUUGCACAUGCGGAAUACUCGGGUUAAACUUGACGGGCCUAGCAUGUACAAACAUGCCUCGGAACACUGGAGACCGAAAGGUCAAAUGUGAAUCAUAUAGUAGAUAUGAUCAACAUAGAGAUGUUCACCAUUGAUGACUACUCCAUCUCACGUGAUGAUCGGACAUGGUUUAGUUGAUUUGGAUCACAUAUCAUUUAGAUGACUUGAGGGAUGUCUAUCUAAGUGGGAGUUCUUAAGUAAUAUGAUUAAUUGAACUUAAUUUAUCAUGAACUUAGUCCUGAUAGUAUUUGCAUAUCUAUGUUGUAGAUCAAUAGCUUGCGAUGUAGCUCCCCGUUUUUUUAUAUGUUCCUAGAGAAAAAUAAGUUGAAAUAUGAUAGUAGCAAUGAUGCGGAUUGGGUCUGUGAUCUGAGGAUUAUCCUCAUUGCUGCACAGAAGAAUUAUGUCCUUGAUGCACCGCUAGGUGACGGACCUAUUGCAGGAGCAGAUGCAGACAUUAUGAACGUUUGUCAAGCUCGGUAUGAUGACUACUUGAUAGUUUAGUGUGCCAUGCUUUACGGCUUAGAACUGGGACUUCAAAAAUGUUUUGAACGCCACAGAGCAUAUAAGAUGUUCCAAGAGCUGAAAUUGGUAUUUCAGACUCAUGCCCGAGUGGAGAGGUAUGAGACCUCUGACAAGUACUUUACCUACAAGAUGGAGGAGAAUAGCUCAACCAGUGACCAUGUGCUCAGAAUGUCUGAGUACUACAAUUGUUUGAAUCAAGUGGGAGUUAAUCUUCCAGAUAAGAUAGUGAUUGACAGAGUUCUCUAGUCAAUAUCACCAAGUUACUGGAACUUCGUGAUGAACUAUAAUAUGCAAGGGAUGACGAAAAUGAUUCCAGAGCUCUUCGCGAUGCUAAAAUCAGCGAAGGUAGAAAUCAAAAAAGAGCAUCAAGUGUUGAUGGUUAACAAGACCAAUAGUUUCAGGAAAAGGGGCAAAGGAAAAGAAAGGGAACUUCAAGAAAGAAUGGCAAGCAAGUUGCCACUCCCGUGAAGAAACCCAAAGCUAGACCUAAGCCUGAAAUUGAGUGCUUCUACUGCAAAGGGAAUGGUCACUGUAGCGGAACUACCCCAAAUACUUGGCGGAUAAGAAGGAUGGCAAAGUGAACAAAGGUAUAUUUGAUAUACAUGUUAUUGAUGUGUACUUUACUAGUAUUUAUAGCAACCCCUCGGUAUUUGAUACUGGUUCAGUUGCUAAGAGUAGUAACUCGAAGCAGGAGUUGCAAAAUAAACAGAGACUAGUUAAGGACGAGGUGACGAUGUGUGUUGGAAGUAAUUCCAAGGUUGAUACGAUCACCAUCGCACACUCCCUCCACCUUCGGGAUUAGAAUUGGAACUAAAUAAAUGUUAUUUGGUGUUUGUGUUGAGCAUUAAUAUGAUUAUAUCAUGUUUAUUACGAUACAGUUAUUCAUUUAAGUUAGAGAAUAAUUGUUGUUCAGUUUAGAUGAAUACAAUCUUCUAUGGUCAUACACCCAAUGUAAAUGGUUUAGUGAAUCUCGAUCGUAGUGAUACACAUAUUCAUAAUAUUGAUGCCAAAAGAUGCAAAGUUGAUAAUGAUAGUGCAACAUAUUUGUGGCACUGCCGUUUAGGUCAUAUUGGUGUAAAGCACAUGAAGAAACUCUAUACGGAUGGAUUUUUGGAAUCACUUGAUUAUGAAUCAUUUGAUACUUGCGAACCAUGUCUCAUAGGGCAAGAUGACUAAAACUCCGUUCUCCGGAACAAUGGAGCGAGCCACUGACUUAUUGGAAAUAAUACAUACCUGUUGGGGAACGCAGUAUUUCAAAAAAAUUACCUACGAUCAUGCAAGAUCUAUCUAUGUGAUGCAUAGCAAUGAGCUGGAGAGUGUGUCCACGCACCCUCGUAGACCGAAAGCGGAAGCGUUAAGUAACGCGGUUGAUGUAGUCGAACGUCUUCACGAUCCAACCGAUCAAGUACCGAACGCACGACACCUCCGCGAUCUGCACACAUUCAACUCGGUGACAUCCCUCAAACUCUUGAUCCAGCUGAGGCCGAGGGAGAGUUUCGUUAGCACGACGGCGUGAAGACGGUGAUAUGAAGUUACCGACGUAGGGCUUCGCCUAAGCACUACAACGAUAUGACCGAGGUGGAAAUUUGUGGAGGGGGGCACUGCACACGGCUAAACAAUCAACUUGUGUGUCUAUAGGGUGCCCCCCUCCCCGGUAUAUAAAGGAGUGGAGGAGGGGGAGGGCCGGCCUCAUGGGGCGCGCCCAAGGGGGGAUUCCUACUCCUAGUAGGAGUAGGUUUCCCCCAUUCCCUAGUUGGAGUAGGAGAAGAAGGAAGAGGGAGAGGGAGAGAAGGAAAGGGGGCCGCCCCCCCACCCCAAUUUGGAUUGGGCUUGGGGGCCACGUGCCUCCCACUUGACCGCUUCCUCCUCUCUUCCACCAUGGCCCAUUAAGGCCCAUUAACUCCCCGGGGGGUUCCGGUAACCCGCCGGUACUACGGAAAAUGCCCGAACUCAUCCGAAACCUUUCCGGUGUCCAAACAUAGCCUUCCAAUAUAUCGAUCUUUAUGUCUCGACCAUUUCGAGACUCGUCGUCAUGUCUGUGAUCACAUCCGGGACUCCGAACAACCUUCGGUACAUCAAAACACAUAAACUCAUAAUACCGAUCGUCAUUGAACGUUAAGCGUGCGGACCCUACGGGUUCGAGAACUAUGUAGACAUGACCAAGACUCAUCUCCGGUCAAUAAUCAACAGUGAAACCUGGAUGCUCAUAUUGGCUCCCACAUAUUCUACGAAGAUCUUUAUCGGUCAAACCGCAUAACAACGUAUGUUGUUCCCUUUGUCAUCUGUAUGUUACUUGCCCGAGAUUCGAUCAUCGGUAUCUUCAUACCUAGUUCAAUCUCGUUACGGGAAAGUCUCUUUACUCAUUCUGUAAUGCAUCAUCCCGCAACUAACUCAUUAGUUACAUUGCUUGCAAGGCUUAUAGUGACGUGCAUUACCGAGAGGGCCCAGAGAUACCUCUCCGACAAUCGAAGUGACAAAUCCUAAUCUCGAUCUAUGCCAACUCAACAAACACCAUCGGAGACACCUAUAGAGCAUCUUUAUAAUCACCGAGUUACGUUGUGACGUUUGAUAGCACACUAAGUGUUCCUCCGGUAUUCGGGAGUUGCAUAAUCUCAUAGUCAUAGGAACAUGUAUAAGUCAAUAGCAACAAACUAAACGAUCAUAGUGCUAAGCUAACGGAUGGGUCAUGUCAAUCAUAUCAUUCUCUAAUGAUGUGACCCCGUUAAUCAAAUGACAACUCAUGUCUAUGGCUAGGAAACUUAACCAUCUUUGAUUAACGAGCUAGUCAAGUAGAGGCAUACUAGUGACACUCUAUUUUGUCUAUGUAUUCACACAUGUACUAAGUUUCCGGUUAAUACAAUUCUAGCAUGAAUAUUAAACAUUUAUCAUGGUAUAAGGAAAUAUAAAUAACAACUUUAUUAUUGCCUCUAGGGCAUAUUUCCUUCAGUCUGCCACUUGCACUAGAGUCAAUAAUCUAGUUCACAUCGCCAUGUGAUUUAACACCAUUAGUUCGCAUUACCAUGUGAUUAGUUCACAUCGCCAUGUGACUAAUACCCAAGUCAAUAAUCUAGUUCACAUCACUAUGUGAUUAACACCCAAAGAGUACUAAGGUGUGAUCAUGUUUUGCUUGUGAGAGAAGCUUAGUUAAUGGGUCUGUCACAUUAGAGCCGUAUGCAAAUUUCUAUGUCUACAAUGCUCUGCACGGAGCUACUCUAGCUAAUUGCUUCCACUUUCAAUAUGCAUCCAGAUUGAGACUUAGAGUCAUCCGGAUCGGUGUCAAAACUUGCAUCGACGUAACCCUUUACGACGAACUUUUUGUCACCUCCAUAACCGAGAAACAUAUCCUUAUUCUACUCACUACAAAAAAGACACUUCCGUGAUGAUACGUGUUUGUCACAGUAGGUCACGUUUUCUGUCAUGCAUGUACAUCCAUGACAAAUUUAUGACAGAAUCAAGAUAGUCAUACCUGUGCUGUCGUAGAAGUGUUCCAUGACAUUACCAAAAUUAUCAUCACAGAAGUGUCCGCUUCCAUGACGAUAAAUCGCGCGUCAUAGAAGUGCUUUCGUCAAGGGUGACCGACACGUGGCAUCCACCUUAACAGGUCGCUGUUAAGCUAUCGGGUCCUGUUUUGGAUCCGAUAACCCGUUAACAGCCCGGACCAAUGGGGAUUUUCCACGUGUAAAAUUCUCAUUGGCUAGAGGAAAAACGUGUUGGCUCACCGUUGGGACAGAUGUCAUCCACUCAUUGGACAGGAGGCGCCUAUGAUACGUCGACACAUGGCACAGCCCAACAUAGGCCCAUUCCGGUGAAAAGGCCGGCCCGUUUGACUUGGUCAAAAGGUAAUGGGCCGGCCCAAGGAAAGCCUGUUAACGGUCUAUUCGUAUAUAGCCCAUUCACGGCCCGCUAACUACCGGCCCGUUACGGCCUAUCGGAAUUAAUCCCAGUAGCUUCAUCUGGGCCAUCCAAUAUAUUCCAGCCCGUUGUAACUUCCGGCCCAUGUAUGGCCCAUGAUGUAUUUCGGCCCAUAUGAGGCCCUUUGUAACUCUCGGCCCAUUAAAGGCCCGAGAUGAAACUGGCCCAUAAUGAACAGUGUAUCGCUUUAUACCCAUUAACGACCCAUUAUUCCAUCGGCCUUUCCAGCCCAUGUUAACUUUCGGCCUUCUAAGGGCCCAUUUAUUCUUGGGCCCAUUUCUAGAAUUCGGUUAGAUACGGUCCGUUACUGGCCUAUUCCGUUUGUGGGCCAAAUACAGCCCGUGGUUACAUUCGGCCCAUUUGUGGCCCGUUAACCCGUUGGGCUGUUUUCAUAGCGUUAUCAAAUACGGCUUAUUAACGGCCCGUUAUGGUCCAUGAAUAGUACAACCCAUGUUUGGCGAAAUGAUUAUACGCCCCGUAGAAGGCCCAUGGAUCCUACGGCCCGUAGAAGGCCCAUAGAUCAUACGGCCUGUAGAAAGUCCAUGGAUCUUACGGCCUGUAAAAGGCCCAUGGAUCCUACAGCCCGUAGAAGGCCCACGGAUCCGACGGCCCGCAGGAGGCCCAUGGUUACAACAGUCUGUGUGUUGCCAUGAUUAUUGUGGCCUAUUUACCAAAAAUAGGUUAUUGUGGCCACUAGAAAAACGCGGAAAAAGAACUGCAUUGACUACAAGCAAACAACUAAACAAGACAAUAAGGAAAUAAAUAAGCAAGCAACUAACGCUAGCCUAUUAUAGCUAUUACACAUAUUACAUCCACUGGGCAUCAAAGUUCGCCACCAGUGCAAAUAUAGGGAACAAAGCAGCAUAUUACAUACACUGGCCGUCAAAAUUGGCCACCAGUGCAAAUAAACGCGGAAGCAAAACAAGUCCAUAACUAAAACAACUUCAAAAGAGCUCAAGAAACGUUAUCCUCGGUAUCCACCAUGUUAGCAAUAAGCUUAGCAAGCUUAUUAGCUUUGUCCAGUUUGGCGCUAAAAUCCUCCAACGCUUGCUGUUGCACCAGAAAGUAUGGAUCUGAAUGCUCCAGGGACUUCCGCAGUCCUUCCGCUUCUUGUCGUAGCACAGCUGAUCGAUGUCUUUCAGCUUGUAGUUGAGACUCAAGAAACCGAACGGAUUCAGACAAUGUGUUUGAAUAGCUUGUGCAAGCGGUAGUGGCCAGUAACUCGAACAGUAAACCAAGACAAGACUUUGGGGUUGCCUCACUGACUUCAAGAUAGUUUUCCUUAGCUGUUUUAUCAGCUUUGUUGGAGAGCAACAAGGAUGUCUCACGAUCAUGAACCUUAUCUGCAUUACUUCCUUUAUCAUUGCUUAAUAAGGCACUCUUCCCCAAUAUCCUGACAGCAUUCUAAAAGAAGAAACAAGCAGACACAUAACAGGUUUAGCAUGUACUAGUAUAUGAAACUCAUUUCCAUGAACCAGUUCAUUAGUAAGGUGGACAAGAUCAAACUACCAAGUCUUCUAUUGCCAAGUAGUACAUUACAAAAGCAUCAAACAAACAUAUAUCUAUGUCCUAUGGUGACUGCAUUGUCUUGCCAAAUCAAAAUAGAGACACGGUUCAAAUCAUAUCAGUUCAAGAGAAAGCAACACUAAAAGAAUACAAAACGUGGGAAACUAAACGGCACAACAAGAUUUCAGAUGGGUACCACGGGUCUACAUGUACAACAACACUAUUGGCCCUGUUAUGAUGCUAGUAAUGUGCAUGAUAUGAGAAGUCAACUGUAUACACAAUUGAAAUUGAAAUCAACAGAGCUAUUUAUAAGAGCAAACCUGUUAAGGAAACAUGCGUAAACAUACUUGUUGUGCCAUUGGAGUUUCCAUUGGAUAGUUCAAUUUAAAAAUAAGUUUGUAUGAGUAAAUACAGUGAUACAAGAGCAAAGCAGUAUGCACAAUAGCAAUGGAAUCUUAAAUGAGAACAGUUGUUCUUCAGGUUUAAACACUUGUUCUACAUGAACAGAGUACAAUAAGACGCAAGCAUAUAUUACUUAAAAUAAAAUGAGUUCAUAGACCUUACCACAUUCUUGGUUCGGGACCAGUAAAGAACAAGGCGUUCCCAGUCAUCGUCCAGUAAAUGUGUCUCAGGAGAACGUAAGGGAAUUUGAUGAGUUUCUUUGCCAGUGAAGUACGUUUUCUUCAGGUAAUUCCGAUAUUGCCACCAAGCAUUCUAGAAGAUAGCAGAGGUAUUAGCACAGGUUACCUCAUCCUGAGUUUCCAAAUCGGUCCUUCUCUAUAGAGAAAAAUGGGAAAAUUUGCUAUAUUAUAACCAUCAUGCAGGUAGAAUGUAUGGGACAAAGCAAAGUAAUUGCCAUGAAUAACAUUACUUACACAUAACUCCUAGACAAACACCUGCAACUGGCAUUUUCCUUCAUUUUCAGUAUAAUAUUUCCAUGAUGGGAAGAUACACACAUAAGAUUUAACAACAUCAAAUGCGAUAGAUGCUAAACUAUGAAUGGCUGGUUGUGCUUACUCCACAUGAAUAGGUGUACUAACUGGUGGAGUUGGGGUUCGUUGUGGUAGUACUGGCGCUUUGGGGACUAGAGCUGCCUUACUAACUGCUCUUGUUUGGGAGCUCUGUGGUGGAGAUGGUGCUGUGUCAACAGGAACUGGGUUACUAUCUGCUGGGGUUGGGGUUAGAUUGGUUGAAGCUGGUUCUCUGUCCAUCGCAGUAGGGGUAAAAUCUGCGGGAGUCUGGGUUAUGUGUGGUAGGGCUGGUUCUCGUGCAUGUACAACCAGGGUGCUAUCUCCGCCAAGAGGUAGCACUAUUUUAUUUGAAGACCGUGUUUUUACUCCACCAGAUACUGCCAUCACCCGCUCCAAUUCAAAUGGCUGAUAAACAUGAAACGUAGUUGAAUGUACAGACAUUGUAUGAGAGAAAGAUGCAAUAGAUAGUGUGGGAAAAAGAGGGCAUUAAAUAAUUGACAUGUAUAUUGUUUAACUAAAACGGAUAACAUGACAUAAUUUCACAUAUAUGAUGUCUAUCUAAACUGGAUAACAUAGCAUAACAUAAAUCAAAGAUAUGAUGACUAACUAAACAUGAUCACAUGACAUAAUUCACAUACAUGUUAUUUAAGUAACCAGGAUCUCAUGAUUUAAUUCACAUAUGUGAUUUAUAUGCUAAGCGGAGGGCAUUCGCAUAUAUGAUGUCUGAACUAAGAACAUGGUGUUGAAUAUUGUGUAUAUGAUGUCUAAACUAUGCAAUGCAAGACACCAUAUGCAUGAUAUGAGCACUAGAACCGUGCCAAGUUAAAGCAUACACCUCGAUGGGGGAAUAGGACCGGUCAUCUGUCUCUGAAUCCAUCUCUGAGGAGCUAUCGGGACCCAGCAAGAGAUCUGCUUCAAUAGGUAGCAUUGUCUGCUUUGAAGGCCUUGUUUUCACUCCAGAUUUUUCCAUCACCCACUUAAAUGGCUGAUUCACAGGAAGACUAGUUUAAUGUACAAACAUUGUCGACAAAUGGGAAUUUAACAAAGAAAAGGAUGGGCUAGAUAUCAUUCAAAUAUAUGAUGCCUGGUUAAACAGGAUGGCAUUGCACAUUUCACAUAUAUUAUGGCUGGCUAAAAGACAUGAGAGCAUAAUUCCCAUAUAUGAUAUUGAAACUAAAAGGGUGGCAUUACAGAACAUGUCUAAACUAAGCAGAUGACAUAUAUGAUGUCGAAAGUAGGCACUGCAAGGCAACAUAUGCAUGAUAUGACUAACAUCAUCAUGCCAAGUUAGAGCAAACACCUUAGUGGGUAAAUAGGAGUGGUCAGCUGCAUCUGAAUCCGCCUCAGAACAGAUAUCUUCCUCUGGAUUACAAUCUGGAGAGGGGGGGAGGGUUUGCCAUUGAACCCACCAUGGAGCGAUGUCUGCAUGACAUUGUAUUUCCGCGCAAAACUCUUCUCUUUUUCUCUACAUGUUCAGCAUGACUGUGUACAAUAUCUGACAUGCAUACAAAAAAAUAGUGAGAUUAUGUAAGGAGAGCAUGCAGAAAUCUAGAGAAUGGUAACAACCAGUGGAUGGAUCCAAAAAUAAUGAUAGCAGGCUGAUGAUUACUUUAAUUUAAUAAAACACAGAUGAUGAUUGCUUUACAAUUUGUUUCCCACCCAAGAUGAACAACAUAGGCAUACCCUAGGUGAACCAGAUAUUAGACAGAGAUACUAUUCAUUGCUGCCUCGAUAUGUGCCCCACAACUAAUUUAGAACUCAAGUUUGAACAUCAAUUUGGACCUGACUUGGAGUCUAAGAGGUGAACAGGACAAUAAAGUAGCAGGUAAUAUUAAGCAAUGCAUAACAUAAGUGGAAACAAAAGAGUGCGGCCUCUCUUGUGGACCAGCGUACUCCUCAGGUUCAUCUGCUGAGUCGAUGAUGCUGAUGCCGUUGCGGUGGGUGCCGGCGGCAGGGAAAGAGAUCUGAGGCGGCGAAAGACGGCCAGGAGUCGUGAUGUCUGGUUUGGUGGAUGCUUCUGUCGAUGGAGCAGCUCAGGUGAGGCGGACGAUGUCGCGGCAGGAGCAGGACAAACCACACAAAGUUUUCUUCGACGCCUACCUGUAACUGAAGUAAUUCUAUAAGGGCUCAUUUGGCUUGCAUUUUUCUAAAAACGCAGGGAUAUGAGGAAAAUCACCGGAAUAGGAUAGGAAUGCACAUGGGAAACAGAGCAUUUGUGAAGACAUGAUUUCUAUCAACUUGGGUGUUUGGUUCACAGGAAUUGGAGGAGCAGAGGAAUGCAAAGAAACAUGGCCAAAAUAAAGGGAAACCAUAUGAAAGCGUGUACAGUUAGAAUGUUAUUCUGCCACUAAUGCACUUGGUCUUGUUUUCAUGCAUAGGAUUUUGAAAAGUAGGUCCAGGUGGAUGUUUUGCUCCAUUCCUUUCAACAAAAUGCAUGAAUAAUUGAAUAGUAGAGUGCCAUAGGAAAAUUUCCUAUUGCUAUGUUUUUCCGUUGAACCACAAUAGCCCUAAUGGAUCGACAUGAAUGUAGAGUAAUAAGUGAUGCGACAAGUGUACAACCUCUUUGCCGUAGCCGUGUCGACCUCAACAUCAUUGGGUUGGUUGCUGAAGAAGUUGAGGCAGAGGUGUCUGUCGGAGGUGUGGAGGAAGAUCUGAGGAAUCUGUAGACGGCGUCCAGGGCACUGCUCUGUUGUGAUGGAUCGUUCCGUCAUUGGAGCAGCUCCGGUGAGCCGUAAGACAUCAAGGCUGAAGCAGCACAAGACAGACAUCGUUAAUCUCAAGUGGGAUUCUAAUAGCAUCUCCAAUAGAUGAUGUAAAAUGCAUUACCAAAAAGUGAUAGAUGUAAAAUUUACAUCACCAAAAACCACCUGACUACAACAGAUGAGGUAAAAACUGUUGACUCUGAACUUAACUGUCGAAACUGAAAUUUAUUGUGGAAUCUAAAUGUUAUUGUCGAAACUGAACGCAAUGGUAGCAGAGAGGCACUUCACAUGGGAUAGUUUAGGGAGGGCCUGCAGUUCAUCUUCAACCUGCACCCCCUGAGCCGCCAGCCACCACCGACCGAACCCCGCGCUGCCUCGCCGCCCCGAAACAACUCCCCACCGCCGGUCCGCCGCCGCCCUGAAACAACUCCCCACCGCCGGUCAGCCGCCGCCUCGCCACCCCGAAACAGCUCCCCACCGCCGGUCCACCGCCGCCCCAGCCAGCCCUCUAGCCGCCCAUCCCCCCUCGCGCCAAGCUUUUUCUCCGGCGAUCCCCACGCCACCGCCCCACCACCGCGCCCCCACCACCAGCGAGCAGCACCCCACCCAGAACCCUAAGAUAGAUAGUGGGGUACCUCUCCGGCGAGCCCCCCUUCCCGCUACGGGUGGUUCUUCCUUAACUCCGGCGAGACCCCCCACCCCCUGAAAAUCGACUGACCCAAAAGUUGAUUUAGUCGACUGAAGUGUAGCUAGAUCGGAGCAGAGCAGCAGCACGAGCAAGGGGGAGAGCAGCAGCAGCAACGCGAGCGAGAGCCGGAGCAGCAACAGCUGGGCGAGCGAGCGAGCGAGAGCCGGAGCAACAGCAGCAGUGCGAGCGACCGAGUGACGGCCGGAGCAGCAGCAGCAGAUCCGGCUGGUAUGGACGCCGCCACCGAAGGGGCCUCGCACUGGGGAGAGCCGCCGUGGAGAUGUCGCCCGCGGUGCCGGCUUCGAGGUAGCCGCUCCAUGGGGGUGUGGGAUGGAGCACCGUCGGCGCCGGGAGGUCAAGUUAAGGAUAAGGUGCGAUGCGAUGAGUGUACAACCUCUUUGGUGGCGCCGAGUAGGCCUCACACUGGGGAGAGCCGCCAUGGAGAUGUCGCCCGCGGCGCCGGCUUCGAGGUAGCCGCUCCAUGGGGGUGUGGGAUGGAGCACCGUCGGCGCCGGGAGGUCAAGUUAAGGAUAAGGUGCGAUGCGAUGAGUGUACAACCUCUUUGGUGGCGCCGAGUAGGCCUCGGCUUCGUCCGAGGAGUCGGUGAGGAUGCUGCGGUUCUGGUGCAGUAGGUUAAGGCGGCGCUGUGGGGAUGGAGCAGCCGUGAUAGAUGAGGCGAUCGUCGAAGCAGCUCCUUGGAGGUGGAGGACGGGGCGGCUGAACCGGCGGGACGACGGGAUGGACGACGGAUCCUCAUCCGGGGAGGCGAAUGAGAGACGUCGACCUGUUGCGAUGGACGACGUCAUUGGGGAAGAGGCUCCGGCUGGGCAGCGGUGAGGUGGCGGACGGAGGAGGGUGGGGUUUCGUGGCUGGAGCGGAGAGGUUUUGGCGGCCUGGGAUUUCGAAUGGCGAAAAGGAGGCGAUGGGAGGGGGAACCAUGACUUAGGGAUGCGCUUGUCCAAAAUGUAGGGUGUGUUACAAAAGUACCCCCACCGAUUUGAACUAGCAGCCCUUUCGGCUCAGGGUUAGAAGGGGUAUUUUGCGUGUCGGGAUUUGGCAGCGGGAGGGAGUUUUCACGCGCGAUGUAAUUUCGGGAUAGCAAGGCGCGGGUUGUGAAGGCGCCAGUUUUGCGAGCACGAUAUCUGAAUUUUCGGGAUAUAACAAGGCGCGGGUUGAAUUUUAGGGACAAGCCUAACGUGUAAUAUUGUACUUGGACGUACCAAAUCAAUUCGCACUUCCCUCAAAGAAAAAAAGAAAAAAAUAAAAACUAUUCACACCACACAAAGAGAGAGUCUUGUCCCGUUUUUACUAUACAAAUGCUAUUCAAAGCUAUUCAAAAACUAUUCACACCACACAAAGAGAGAGUAUGAAUCCAUGUUAUGUCCAAUUAAAUUUUUCGCUGGCUGUAUAAUGCAUGUAACCUACUCAUACCAACAUUUUAGUGCAUUCCAAAUGUUUAUACUACCGCUGCAAUUUGAACUGAAUUUGAAUUUGUUUCUCUAUUUCAAUAAGAAUCUACAAUCAUGAUUGUUGCCAACUUCAACCAUCAUUCGUGUAUUACAUUAACAACACACCACAUGAUUACUAUAGAGAUAGAUAUGAAAUGUGUGUACUAUAUGAACUCGAAUUCAAUUUUUUUGAAUACACUUUAUGUUAAUUCCAAAUAAUAGUACAUUUGAUGUACUAACUAUAUAUUCAUAAUCUAAACCAUGUUCCAUACGUACACCAUGUUUAUCACACAAGGUAUAGUGCCCCGCCCCCUACAUUAUGACAAGUAUUUAGCCCUGAGCUGCAAAAGCCACACAUUAGCCCAAAUUAUAAUCAAUGUUCUAUAUAUUAUAUGUAGUACUAGCAAGAUGCCCAUGCGUUCCACGGAACAUCAACAUGAUCAAGGGAUGCCUUAUUUGCAAAUAUGGAGAGGGGUGUGGGUAUCUUUUUUCAAAAUUGCCAUAGUUUCCUUCCUAUCCGCCAGAUAUAAAUCGGACGGCCUAUAUUGCAGGAUGGCAGGCACACCAUCAUCAACAACUCUGUUUUUCAUAACCACACCAUGUGUAUCACCGUUAUAUAUAUUCACGCAUGCGUCGGUUUAAAACACUAUGAUAAAUUCUUCAAAUAUCCGAAUUCGCUUUUUAUAAUGAAUCAUGAUCUCUAUUCGUCUUUUACACCCACACAAUCCUCUUAUCUUUGUAGCUAGCGCUAACUUUCUCUCGUGCAUGCACACGCCCGCAUCCCUCUCACCCUCCCUCAGCAUUCUCUAGCUCCAUCGCGCAAAUUCGUCUUUUCACUUUAGGUCGUUCACCCAUGGUGUGUGUUGGCCCCCCAUCUCCUUCUUUACGGCACACAUCGAUCGAUGUGCCUCUCUAGCCAGGUGUGCCUACCACAAACACAAGCUUCCCCUCUUCUCUUCUCACUGUCCAUGACUCACUCACACCACUCUUUUCAUCGUUCUCGUACUCGCACACUCCUUCCCCCUUGAUAUAGUAUGCCUCUCACACCACCUCCUAGAUGCAUCCCUCUCUCUCUAUCCUUCGCCCCGGGCCUUAUUUGCUUCUAACACAUACAUGCAUGUAUACCGAUCGAUCUCCCUACAUAUACCUAGGUCGACUUUAACUGUUUUCCCCCCACCCAUCGAUUGACGUACCUCACAAAUUAUGUCUCUCCUUUCUCUGACAAAGGACGAUUGAUCUUCCUAUGUAGUUAUGUCUGCUUACCACAGUCAUAUCGUCCCCCCUCAUCAUUCAUGCAUGCCUCUUGACCCAUCUCUCGCACGCACGUGCACAGAUAGGGCAGCCAUCCCCUCUCUUAUUGAUAUUGCAGGCGUGCCCUCCGUUUGUCUAGCAAGCCUCUCCCAGACUCCCACCAUUUGUUAGAAGCAACUCCACUACCACCCCCUCCAAGACUCUAGCUCUGUCUCUCUCCCAACCUUAUUCCUCUCCUACACAUAUGCACGGAUGCUGAUCGAUCUCCCUUAAUACAUAAGGUAGGCCUCUCUCCUCCUCCACACAUAUACCAGCCAUUGUACCUCUAUAAUUAAUUAGGCCUCCCCCCACCACACACCGAUAGUCGAGCGCUGUAGGUAGGUAUCCAUGCCACAGAGACAAACUGCACCUGUCCCCUCUCACGUUCUAGUAGGCCAGCCACUCUAUAUCUUUGACGUGGGCACACACAAAUUUGAUGGCACUCUUUAUCGAUCGCGCGCGCACACACACACAUCAUCCCUCUCUUCGAUUCUAUGGAUACCUCAAGCCGAUGAUACCUCCACUCUCUUCUCGUGGAUCGCCCCUCUAUAUAUAUGAUAUAUCCAUGACUCUAUUUCACACACAUUGCAUAUGUUACAUUUUUUGAUUGACCCUCCCCCCCCCCAAAAAACACUCAUGAACCCACACACUCUAUCUCUCUACAUUUGUGUCUCUCUCACACAACCCCACGUAGGUGGUGUACGUACACGAAGAGAAUAGGUGCACGUACUCACGCUUCGUGCCCAGCCACACCCGCGCGGGUACACAGUGGAGCUCAUUUCUGUACGAAAAUGGCAGCCCACGUGCUAAUUUGAAUGCGUGUAGCGGUUGUUUACCUACGGAGGUCGUGUACCACGCGCGCAUGAAACAAAGUUCGGCUUGAUGCGUUGGCGCGUUAUUUUUAAAUAAAGUUAAAUCGCUCAAUGGCACGUACACAGAAUAUAAAACAAUUUUUAUGGAGAAAAAGGUAGUCCGCUCCACUAUAUACAAUGGAGCCUGCCUGCCUGGGCUUGUCUCUCUUCAGAGUAUCUCACACAAGGUGGCGGUGGCCUCUCUCUCUCCCACCGUUGGUCACUGAUCCGGCCGCAUCCCGUCCGCCGGCGGAAAGGGAGGAUGUGCAUCGUUUCUCCGUUCGACGGCGCCGAGGCAGCACGUCCCGAUCUGCGGUAUCCGCCAUUCUCUCUGACCAAGCUCCGGCGCGGUAGGGCCUAUGCCACCUGCUCGCUGCCGCAAUAUGGGCAGACCUCGCCCGUCGCUGCUCACCUAGUUACAUCCCGACGACCCCCAAGUAUCCCCUCCGGCCUUGCUCCACUGCCCGUCUUCCCACGUCGCUGCAUGUGGAUAAUCUUGCAUGUGGAUCUUCCAUAGUUCUUUGCCCAAAACGUAGCUCGUCCGGCGUACUUUCCAUAUUGCAAUCUCGUCCUCACACCGUUUUAGACAAACACAACCAUGUUGUUAUCUUCCCUUAGGACAAGGAAUAUGCUUCUUUUUUGUCGUCGUAUGUGUCAUCAACUGUUAUUGGCCAGUAAUUGUUUCCUUUCUACCUCUUUUUUGCAAACAGGGCUAUCCAUUUCACCUCGUUGCUAUUGCGACCUUUUGGUGAACUGCACAAAUCACUUUUUUCUUAAGAGUGUUUUGUGCAGUUGUACUAAAAUGUCACACGGGCAACGUCUCUACAUUUCAGUGUGACUGCACAAAGGGAGAUUGGUUUUGCUCUAUCCUCCUCAUCCAACUCCGAGCCUAAUCUUCUCCAACUAUUUGCUUAAUCUUCUCCAACUAGUUAGUCUUAA
This 88739-nucleotide long non-coding RNA is filed under the name Triticum aestivum (bread wheat). RNAcentral describes it as "long non-coding RNA (TAES_LNC009261)". The stretch from base 3238 to 3309 matches the Rfam family "tRNA". The record is from RNAcentral. Lineage: Eukaryota; Viridiplantae; Streptophyta; Magnoliopsida; Poales; Poaceae.